This 56515-nucleotide long non-coding RNA is filed under the name Triticum aestivum (bread wheat). RNAcentral describes it as "long non-coding RNA (TAES_LNC028668)". Lineage: Eukaryota; Viridiplantae; Streptophyta; Magnoliopsida; Poales; Poaceae. The record is from RNAcentral.
CAAAUGGAAACUCGUACUACGCUGAAGCACCGGCCUCCUCCUCCUCCUCUUUCCUUUUGCGAGCCCACUUGGGGCUGACCUCGAUGAGCCGGUGCGGCAUGAGCUGCUUCUCCUUCCGGGUGAGCUUCUUGUAGUUCAUGACCCUGAGUUUCGCAAUCUUGGCUUCCUCCUCGGCUGUGGCUUCUCUGACCACCACCGUCAGCCUGCACCUAGGUCUCUCCCUCACACCACACCUCCCUUUGGCGUGGUAAGACAGCCUCUUGAGAUAAAGUCCCUUUCCCACAAAAGCCUCUUCUGCAGUGUCGUCGAGGAGGAGGGUCAAUGUUUUGGCAGCCCUUUUAACCGUCACUUGCAACUGUAAAAGGGCAUCUUCCACGCGCAUUCCUCGAACCAGCUUAGCUACCAGAUUCACUUUCUUGGGGCUCUAAAUCCAGCAGAAGAUUAAGACCAGUUUGAGAAAUAAAUAGCUCUUGAUGGUACUAGCAAUACAUUAUGAACAGCACUCCAGUUCAUGAAGUUUGUUGGGCAGCCUUAUAACCUCUCUAUGUACUCCGUGCUCGUUAAUAUACAUCAUGAAGUUUGUUGGGCAGCCCUGGUCUCUCUACGUGCCCGUUAUUACAUUCCACUUCAGGUGAAGUGGGAUAAACAAAUGUUAUCCAUAAAUUCAGUGAUGAAUAAAAGCUACAAGCACAUUCCAAGUUGAAAUUAUGAAACAAGUGCAUCUUCUGCAAAGAGCAGACAUGUAUACAUUCAUCGAUUACUACUUUCAUCAUUACUAACAGCGUGCUUUGCUAUGUAACCGCUGCAAUUCUCAGGAGCACAUAUGUAGCAAUCGCAGACGAUAUCAAUAAAAAAAGAAAAGCUUAAUGCGCCUAUCACCUGAUCUUUGCCAUACCGGUUUGUUGUUUGGACUUUGUACAUACCAACCAUGCAAAAGCUUUCAGUAAGUUUCAUGGGAAUGACAUGUAUUUGACUAAACUACAUGUUGAAGGGAAGCUUUCAGGAAACUGCAUACUUGACAUGGCUGUCACAGGGCUGCACAACACAUGUCCUUACUCAAGCAUUUUAGCAUAUCUCUGAGAAUCUCAUGGACCCUCAUGGCAAACUCUGUUUACUCGGCCACUUCAGCCUACGCCGCCCAAUUCUAUGGUCUGAUUGAAAACCCGCAGCUGCGAAGAGCUUGGGAUGUCAAAGCAGAGGGCAAGCUCAAGUUCUUCCCUUGGUUAAUUCUGCAGAACCGAGUCUGGACCGCUGACCGCCUUGCCGCGCGCGGUUGGCCUCAUGAUGACAUUUGCUCGCUAUGUGACCAGGAGAUGGAGUCCGUCAAUCACCUGCUGCUCCAGUGCCCGUUUGCCAAGGAGGUUUGGUUUUCCUUCAACACCUCGCAUCCUUUCAGCUCGGACUUAGCUCUUCGCUGUACCUCUAUCUCUGGUUGGUGGAAAAGAAUCUCCACUCUCCAGAGAUAUCAAGAAGAAAGAAGCCCGUGCGAUGAUCUCCAUGGCAGUGUACACGGUCUGGCCUUUAUGGAAGGAGAGGAACAGGAGGAUCUUCGAGGGACAAAAGGCUAAUGCUGAAACUGUAGUGUCUUUCAUCCGAGACGAUCUGCACUUUGCAGGUCCAUCUCUUUGCGAGUAGUCCCUUGUUUUUCUCUCGAGUUUUUUUUCUUUUUUUAAUUUCUUUCCUCCUGUUUCUGGACUUCCAGACAUUGUACAGCUAUUUCCCCCCUUGCUUAAAUGAAAAAGGCGGAGCUCCUGCAGUUGACCGUGAAAAUAGUAAGCCUCUUUUUUUUUUGCGGGGUUAAAAGGAUUUCAUAGCUCAACUGUUGGAAUAUCCGUUCCUACAUAGCAGAGGAACUUCUGCAGGUCCAGAGCGCAACCAAACUGCAGUUCGGCCCUCCGAUCGUUCGAAAGCAGCAAGGGUAUGGCUAACAACGUUCUGGUUCCUACUUACAUGAUCAAUAGAGAUAUCCCUUUCACCAAAGAGCCUCUUAAUAUCCUGAACUAACAUUCUAUGUGGCGAUCUGUCAAGGGUAGGCGACUUGAUCAACUUGACCGCAUCCAUGCAGUCCAUCUCGAUGUCUACCGGGCGAGUAGACCAUUGUAGAGCAAGGCUUAAUCCCUCCUGGCACGCCAAUAGCUCAGACUGGAGCGGUCCGGAACAAUGCAAGAUGGAACGACAAGCGGAGAAGAUAAUGUUGCCGUCAUUAUCACAUAGGAUCAUACCAGCUCUUGCUAAUCCACCGUCUGUAUCAACGAAUGACCCGUCAACAUUCAACUUCACGCGACCGGCCGGCGGGGCAGACCACUGGGCCGUGGCUGCAUGCUGUGUGGGUAUAUUUAUUAUUGUAGAACUAUACCCAAUCGGCGGCAGUACCAUCUUCCCUUUGAUGAUGUCAGUGGUUGAAAAAUAAUUGAUGCAUCGAAGAGAUUCAGCAUAGCUAAUCAGAAAAUAAUUGUUUUUGUUUUGGAGGGGAAUAGACCUGAUAAUCUAAGAUAAACUUUUAUUUGUAUUGCUUUGGAUGAGAAGGGAUGAUAUAAGACAAAGUAAGCAGGGGAAAUGAGUGACAGAGCAAAAUAUGGGCCUUAGAAAAUGAAGAAACCUGGUGGGUUUUCUUUUAAUUAUUAGUGAAGAAGGCAAGAAGCAUAAUCAAAAUUUAUUAGGGAGCAACUAAUUAACGAGCGCUCCUUUGGGAGCCUCGCAACGAUCAGCGCCACUUGGCGCGCUCUCAGCCAUUCGCCACGUGUCGCGCUCUGAACGCUCCCUCCGGGUUUUUUUUUUGCACGCGUUUUCGGCUUUUUAAAUGGUUUUUUUUACGUUUUGGUUUCCCCCGGUCUUUCUUAGCUUUUCGAUUAAAAAAAUUCAAAAAAAAUUGGGGGCUGACUCUUUCUGGGCUUUUUUGUCGUUGCGCUGUGGCCGUUUGCUCGCGUGUGGGCUUUGCUGGGGUCCACUUGGCGUUCCGGUAUGCAGUUAAGCUAGCUAAGCCAAGCAGUCCAUCAUCAACUAGUCAAUGGCGCGAACCAAGUGGUCAGCUUGGUAAGCUAUCAACAAAAAAUUACAAUCACCAACUAGUCAAUGGCGCAGAUAGCCGUGCCUUCAUCGGCCGUCGCAGCGAUGGCAGCCGCAGCUGUACUGAUCACGGCGCUGAUCUCCGCCGCGGAGCCGAAGCACCGGCGCUGGCUGGGAGACCCGGCUGCGACACUUGGUGCGGGGACGUAACUAUGCCAUUCCCGUUUGGUUUCGGCCGGCCCGGGUGCUCCGCGGGACCAGGUUUCAACCUCACCUGCGAUAACACCACCUGUCCUGGCCGGCCCCGGCUGCUCCUCGGCGAGCGCGGCAUAUUCGAGGUCAGUGACAUCUUCCCGGAAGAACGGUGGGUGAGCGUGCUGAGACCCCCUAUCUUUGGGGACGCCGCCGGGAAGAACAUCAGCACCUCCGGCGCCGUCAUGAGAGGGUCGUGGGGCGGCGGGGGCCUUUUUCAAGAUUUAUAAAGCUGAAGUGGAAAACCAACUUGAUCAAAAAAUCAAGAGGCUUAGUUCCGACCGUGGUGGAGAGUAUUUUUCCAAUGAAUCUGAUGCUUUUUGUGCGGAACAUGGUAUAAUCCAUGAGAGGAUGCCUCCCCAUUCACCUCAGUCAAAUGGGAUGGCCGAAAGGAAGAACCGUACUCUAACUGAUUUGGUUAACGCCAUGUUAGACACAUCGGGUCUCUCCAAGGCAUGGUGGGGGGAGGCGAUAUUGACUGCAUGUCAUGGUAACAUUUUUAAAAUAAAUGCCGUACAUUUUAAUUGGCAAUAAUCAUUUCUUAAACUGCACGAAGAUUUUUAAAAUGGUAAUACUUUUUUGUGAAAAUUUCACAGGCAUUUUUUGGAACACACAUGAAUAUUUUCUUAAAAUGUCACGAAAUGUUUUUAAAUGGAAAUCAACAUUUUUAUCCGAAGUGAUAUUUGAGUAUCAUCUUAUAUUAUGGGACGGAGGGAGUAACAUUUUUUAUAACAUUAUGAAUAUUUUGUUGAAACACGGGAAUAUUUCCAUCAGAGUUGAAGUAAAUUCUUUCAGUAGCAAGAAACAAUUUUUUUGGCAUUGCAUACAUAUUUUUUAAAAACAAGCGACCGACAAAAUAUUUGGCCAAGGGAAAUGGAGAAGCCCAACCGCUCUGUUGUGGACGAAUAGGCCGAAUAGGUCGCAACAAAUUGACAAAGCCCAACUGGAUAGAACCGGGCCCAACAGAAAAAAUCACCAAAAACCUAUCAGAGCCAGGUUUCGAUCGUGGGACCUGUGGGUUAUGGGCCCACCACGCUUCCACUGCGCCACUCUGAUUUGCUUUUUUUUUUGGUGUGAAUUCCCUUAUAUAUACAAGUAGCUGCCGUCAAUGGACUACAAAACAUUAUUAUGCACAUUAGCCAGCAAUAAAAGUCCAUGUGUACCAUCUACUUCAACUCCCAUUAAAAAAUUUCUCAAAAAAAACUCCAAUUAAAAAACUGAAUGAACAUCUUAGAAAUUCCAGUGAAAUUUAGAAAAAUCAGGAUUAUCUUUGAAAGGCAAUGGGAAAUAUGAUAAGUUUUUUUUUGAGGGAAGAGAAUAUGACAUUUUUCUUUGCUUGCUGCAUAUCUCACUCAAUCCCUUGCUUUCGAGAAUAGCAUUUCCCUAGCGCUAGUUGUGGGUCAGAGUUGACAGAUCAGAAGUUGGAAACAUAUACUCCUAUAAUAAAAAAUGAUUUUGAGUCCGAUGUGUUUUUCUAGAAUAAAUCUUGGACUAACAAACAAGCAUCAUUAAAAUUUCGUACAAAUGUAUGUUUUUCUUACACACAUUUUCCUUGUUUUCCCUUACUUUCCAAGUCGUCUUGAUUGGGCUCCUAGGUGUGCAAAACUGUGGCCACAUCAUUGUCAAAGCUGCUUUUGUUCCUGCAAACCUAGAUGGUUUUGACAAUAUAUGGUACUCCCGCCGUUCCAAAAUAAGUAUCAUGGUUUUAGUUUAAAUUUAAGCUAGAACCACGGCAACUAUUUUAGAAAGGAGGGAGUAUUAGGUCUGGCAGGCUGGACUUAAAUUUUAAAUUAAAUAAUCUAAUAGGUACUCCAUUUUAUUCAACACACAACUAAUGAGGUUGCAUUUUCUCAACAAGGAAAAUUAAUCAAGUUGCAAGAAAUGCAUUUUAUCCGAUCCAGAAUUUGAGCGAAUAUCUAACCACUUAUUAACACCAUUCAUAACAACUUUUCAAAAAAUAACACACCCACAUUCUAAACACCCUUAAAUAGCAACUUCUGAGGGGAGGCGGCAACUGUUAGUAUCAAAAAUUCAAAAUGUGGUUUACCUCACCACUAGCGUUGCCGAGACAAAAAGGACCAGCAUUUCUACUGCUCCGCAAAUUCAAGGAACACACCGAUGGCAUGUAUAAGAAGAGACAUGCCCAACAGCACAUCAGAGGUCAACUUAUUCAUUGUUAACUAGAGCAAAUGUCUUGAAAGAUUUCGUAUGGACGACACAAGCAGAACAGAGGCUGGUCAGGCAAACGAGACCACAAAUUCUUCCACUGGAGCUCCACGCCGCGGCUGUUCUUCAGUAGGCCUAGACGACUGCAGAUGCAGCUACUACUCUCUGGCUCCAGGCCGGCCAAGAAAGACGGACCCUGCUGCAAACAAAAACUUGUCCUACGCUGAAGCAUGUACUGUCUAUACUGUCUGCUCUACAUAUGUUUAGUUACGGCUUAUAUAUGAACAUGUUGUUUACCUUCUCUUUGUCGAAUCGCAUGACUUAUGUUAUUACUGCUAUACUAGCCAUGCUUUAUCUAGUAUUUCUGUUAAUAAAUUCAUUCAGUAAAUUGCUCAUAUUUCCAACAUGGUCUUCCAAGUAGAUAAGGAUGGAAGUUGGUGGGCCCCAUGAGAACGUGGUUGUGCUUCCAGGCCAACUAAUGUGAGACCGCAUGCGAGCAAGCGCACGACUGCAGAUGCAGCUACUACUCUCUGGCUCCAGGCCGGCCAAGAAAGACGGACCCUGCAGCAAAUGGAAACUCGUACUACGCUGAAGCACCGGCCUCCUCCUCCUCCUCUUUCCUUUUGCGAGCCCACUUGGGGCUGACCUCGAUGAGCCGGUGCGGCAUGAGCUGCUUCUCCUUCCGGGUGAGCUUCUUGUAGUUCAUGACCCUGAGUUUCGCAAUCUUGGCUUCCUCCUCGGCUGUGGCUUCUCUGACCACCACCGUCAGCCUGCACCUAGGUCUCUCCCUCACACCACACCUCCCUUUGGCGUGGUAAGACAGCCUCUUGAGAUAAAGUCCCUUUCCCACAAAAGCCUCUUCUGCAGUGUCGUCGAGGAGGAGGGUCAAUGUUUUGGCAGCCCUUUUAACCGUCACUUGCAACUGUAAAAGGGCAUCUUCCACGCGCAUUCCUCGAACCAGCUUAGCUACCAGAUUCACUUUCUUGGGGCUCUAAAUCCAGCAGAAGAUUAAGACCAGUUUGAGAAAUAAAUAGCUCUUGAUGGUACUAGCAAUACAUUAUGAACAGCACUCCAGUUCAUGAAGUUUGUUGGGCAGCCUUAUAACCUCUCUAUGUACUCCGUGCUCGUUAAUAUACAUCAUGAAGUUUGUUGGGCAGCCCUGGUCUCUCUACGUGCCCGUUAUUACAUUCCACUUCAGGUGAAGUGGGAUAAACAAAUGUUAUCCAUAAAUUCAGUGAUGAAUAAAAGCUACAAGCACAUUCCAAGUUGAAAUUAUGAAACAAGUGCAUCUUCUGCAAAGAGCAGACAUGUAUACAUUCAUCGAUUACUACUUUCAUCAUUACUAACAGCGUGCUUUGCUAUGUAACCGCUGCAAUUCUCAGGAGCACAUAUGUAGCAAUCGCAGACGAUAUCAAUAAAAAAAGAAAAGCUUAAUGCGCCUAUCACCUGAUCUUUGCCAUACCGGUUUGUUGUUUGGACUUUGUACAUACCAACCAUGCAAAAGCUUUCAGUAAGUUUCAUGGGAAUGACAUGUAUUUGACUAAACUACAUGUUGAAGGGAAGCUUUCAGGAAACUGCAUACUUGACAUGGCUGUCACAGGGCUGCACAACACAUGUCCUUACUCAAGCAUUUUAGCAUAUCUCUGAGAAUCUCAUGGACCCUCAUGGCAAACUCUGUUUACUCGGCCACUUCAGCCUACGCCGCCCAAUUCUAUGGUCUGAUUGAAAACCCGCAGCUGCGAAGAGCUUGGGAUGUCAAAGCAGAGGGCAAGCUCAAGUUCUUCCCUUGGUUAAUUCUGCAGAACCGAGUCUGGACCGCUGACCGCCUUGCCGCGCGCGGUUGGCCUCAUGAUGACAUUUGCUCGCUAUGUGACCAGGAGAUGGAGUCCGUCAAUCACCUGCUGCUCCAGUGCCCGUUUGCCAAGGAGGUUUGGUUUUCCUUCAACACCUCGCAUCCUUUCAGCUCGGACUUAGCUCUUCGCUGUACCUCUAUCUCUGGUUGGUGGAAAAGAAUCUCCACUCUCCAGAGAUAUCAAGAAGAAAGAAGCCCGUGCGAUGAUCUCCAUGGCAGUGUACACGGUCUGGCCUUUAUGGAAGGAGAGGAACAGGAGGAUCUUCGAGGGACAAAAGGCUAAUGCUGAAACUGUAGUGUCUUUCAUCCGAGACGAUCUGCACUUUGCAGGUCCAUCUCUUUGCGAGUAGUCCCUUGUUUUUCUCUCGAGUUUUUUUUCUUUUUUUAAUUUCUUUCCUCCUGUUUCUGGACUUCCAGACAUUGUACAGCUAUUUCCCCCCUUGCUUAAAUGAAAAAGGCGGAGCUCCUGCAGUUGACCGUGAAAAUAGUAAGCCUCUUUUUUUUUUGCGGGGUUAAAAGGAUUUCAUAGCUCAACUGUUGGAAUAUCCGUUCCUACAUAGCAGAGGAACUUCUGCAGGUCCAGAGCGCAACCAAACUGCAGUUCGGCCCUCCGAUCGUUCGAAAGCAGCAAGGGUAUGGCUAACAACGUUCUGGUUCCUACUUACAUGAUCAAUAGAGAUAUCCCUUUCACCAAAGAGCCUCUUAAUAUCCUGAACUAACAUUCUAUGUGGCGAUCUGUCAAGGGUAGGCGACUUGAUCAACUUGACCGCAUCCAUGCAGUCCAUCUCGAUGUCUACCGGGCGAGUAGACCAUUGUAGAGCAAGGCUUAAUCCCUCCUGGCACGCCAAUAGCUCAGACUGGAGCGGUCCGGAACAAUGCAAGAUGGAACGACAAGCGGAGAAGAUAAUGUUGCCGUCAUUAUCACAUAGGAUCAUACCAGCUCUUGCUAAUCCACCGUCUGUAUCAACGAAUGACCCGUCAACAUUCAACUUCACGCGACCGGCCGGCGGGGCAGACCACUGGGCCGUGGCUGCAUGCUGUGUGGGUAUAUUUAUUAUUGUAGAACUAUACCCAAUCGGCGGCAGUACCAUCUUCCCUUUGAUGAUGUCAGUGGUUGAAAAAUAAUUGAUGCAUCGAAGAGAUUCAGCAUAGCUAAUCAGAAAAUAAUUGUUUUUGUUUUGGAGGGGAAUAGACCUGAUAAUCUAAGAUAAACUUUUAUUUGUAUUGCUUUGGAUGAGAAGGGAUGAUAUAAGACAAAGUAAGCAGGGGAAAUGAGUGACAGAGCAAAAUAUGGGCCUUAGAAAAUGAAGAAACCUGGUGGGUUUUCUUUUAAUUAUUAGUGAAGAAGGCAAGAAGCAUAAUCAAAAUUUAUUAGGGAGCAACUAAUUAACGAGCGCUCCUUUGGGAGCCUCGCAACGAUCAGCGCCACUUGGCGCGCUCUCAGCCAUUCGCCACGUGUCGCGCUCUGAACGCUCCCUCCGGGUUUUUUUUUUGCACGCGUUUUCGGCUUUUUAAAUGGUUUUUUUUACGUUUUGGUUUCCCCCGGUCUUUCUUAGCUUUUCGAUUAAAAAAAUUCAAAAAAAAUUGGGGGCUGACUCUUUCUGGGCUUUUUUGUCGUUGCGCUGUGGCCGUUUGCUCGCGUGUGGGCUUUGCUGGGGUCCACUUGGCGUUCCGGUAUGCAGUUAAGCUAGCUAAGCCAAGCAGUCCAUCAUCAACUAGUCAAUGGCGCGAACCAAGUGGUCAGCUUGGUAAGCUAUCAACAAAAAAUUACAAUCACCAACUAGUCAAUGGCGCAGAUAGCCGUGCCUUCAUCGGCCGUCGCAGCGAUGGCAGCCGCAGCUGUACUGAUCACGGCGCUGAUCUCCGCCGCGGAGCCGAAGCACCGGCGCUGGCUGGGAGACCCGGCUGCGACACUUGGUGCGGGGACGUAACUAUGCCAUUCCCGUUUGGUUUCGGCCGGCCCGGGUGCUCCGCGGGACCAGGUUUCAACCUCACCUGCGAUAACACCACCUGUCCUGGCCGGCCCCGGCUGCUCCUCGGCGAGCGCGGCAUAUUCGAGGUCAGUGACAUCUUCCCGGAAGAACGGUGGGUGAGCGUGCUGAGACCCCCUAUCUUUGGGGACGCCGCCGGGAAGAACAUCAGCACCUCCGGCGCCGUCAUGAGAGGGUCGUGGGGCGGCGGGGGCCUCCGCGACGACCUCGGCCAGUACUCCAUGGCCAUUCUGCCUGUGCCCGGCGCCGCGUCCCCAAACCUGCUGCCCUGCUGGUGGUCACGGGGUGCAACGUCCAGGCGACGCUGCUCACGAGAGCGCGUGGCAAGGAUCUCCAAGGUGUGGGAGGCCGCCGGCGCCGAGCCGCACGUCCGGCUGCGGCGAUGCGUCAGCUGCAGCAAUUGAUCACCUACAGCAAUUGAUACGGAGAAACUCUCAUGUUAAACAUCAAUGGUCAGCCUGACAGCCGCGCAACGGCCGCCUGCGCCUGAAGAGAAAUGAACCGGGCCGUUUCGACUCAGCAUACACCUUCUCAUGGUGAACAAGAAGGAACUCCCUGGAAAGCAUCUCAUCACGGGGAUUGAGCAAGAACCUGGCUCGCUGCGCUGCAGGGAAGGAGAGCAUCGCCUCUUGCCGUCGGCCCCGGCUCCCAAGCCCCAAGUCCAAGUCGCACGCACACCCCGCUCGCGGACGGAUGACUGUCUCUUGUAUAUAUAGAAAAAUGGUGGCAAGUUGAAGAGAACAAGGAGUUCGUGGUUCAUGAUGAGAGGGAAGGUCGUGCCGCGGAUCGGUGAGGUGGCGCAAUCCAUACCCUCCCUCGCCAGCUGAUGCCAUCCCUAGGCGCGUAUUCUUUCAUUUAUAGGGAAGGGAAUUAAUGGCCCAUGGGUAUUUAUUCUCAAUUCUCUCUGGCACUCUGACUGGCUCACAUGCACCAGUCUAAUUGCAUGUUCAUGAUAUUUAUUCUCUCACCCCUUUCGUUUACCUCGUCCAGUCCAAUGGGCAGCACUGGUGGGUGGGUUCUUUUCUUCUUCACUUGUUGGACCCUGGAAAUUUAAUUCUACGAGGGGGGCUCAGAUUCACAUAGGAAAUAAUUUUCUUGCACGGUGAAACAAAUGCCUGGACAAGACUUUCUUGUUGAGAACAUCAAAACUUUUAUUUAUUUAUUUGCAUCCGAGAACAUCAAAACCUUUCCUAGUCAAAUAUAUGCAUGCAUACAUACAAAUUCUAAAAACGAAGAUACAAGAUAGUUUUUCUUUCUUUGUCUUNNNNNNNNNNNNNNNNNNNNNNNNNNNNNNNNNNNNNNNNNNNNNNNNNNNNNNNNNNNNNNNNNNNNNNNNNNNNNNNNNNNNNNNNNNNNNNNNNNNNNNNNNNNNNNNNNNNNNNNNNNNNNNNNNNNNNNNNNNNNNNNNNNNNNNNNNNNNNNNNNNNNNNNNNNNNNNNNNNNNNNNNNNNNNNNNNNNNNNNNNNNNNNNNNNNNNNNNNNNNNNNNNNNNNNNNNNNNNNNNNNNNNNNNNNNNNNNNNNNNNNNNNNNNUUUCUUUCUUUGGCCUCCAUGAUCUAUCUAUCUAUCAGUGAAUGGCACAUUCACAAGCACAAUAAAUUGCCAAAAUCACAUACAAAUAAAGAAACAAACAUGACUAAUAAUUCAUGAUCCACACGAUAUACUUGUUAUUCAGCUCAGCUUGAAAUGAGGCUCGGCUUGAAAUCUGACAUUUCAUUUCAGAGAUUCAUUAAAAUAAAUAAACAUGGAGAAAUUUACAGUGGCAUGUUUCAAAUAUCACUCUCGCAUUGCCCAGCCAAAACAUACACAAGAGUUGGGAAACUGACAUCAUUUUUCGACACGCCUACAAACAAAACGAAGACAUUUUAUCUACACAACAACAUCUAUCACAAGAAGGAAUUCGUAAUUCACUGGACAAAAGAUUCCAAAUCAAACACUUCCAGCAAGCUGGCCUUUCACCACAACUCCGAAAACAAGAAUCUAUCUAACCAGGCUGACAAACCACCUAGUCGCACCAUCUCCAUCUCUUCUCUUCUUCGGAAAGGAAGCAACAUCUUCUUGAUUUGACUGCCACUCCUACAAAGGAUAGGAACAGACAACACACACUUAUGUUGCAUACAAAACAGGAGCAACCCAAUUCCGACCACAUCCAGCAGUGCUACAAAACAGGAGUAACCUGUUAUGCAGUUUUCAAACCCCAGAAACUACAGGGAAUUAGGAAUCACAUAGGCCAAUCCACAAAAAUGAGAAAGUUUUAGGAUAGGUUCAAAAUUGAAGACUGCAUUUGGAUCAUAAAAUGAUCACACUAGCAAAAUAGACUGGAUGAUCAGAGAAGGAAUAUCGCUUCUUUGUAUGGGGCAUUAAACCAAAAUCACCAUCUUCCCACCCUUGUACUGCAUCACCUUCUUUAAAGAUGGCCAGAAAAUUGUAUGAAAUCUUGUACUGUUUUUCAAACGACCUAUGGCAUGACUUUAUAGACAGAAAACUGUAUGAAAUCUUAUUGGUUCGAGUUGUAAUUAACCAAAUACAGGAGCAUGUAGAUGCAAUUGGCAAUUUUAUAAAGCCACCGACACUUGUUUGAGCAACAACCUAUAAGUUGGAAACCGGUAAGAUCAAAACUGAGUCAACUGAGUAUUUCAAAGCAAUGAUAACAAAACAAUGUCAUUUAAUAGUUUAAUAGAAUGCGGCUCGAACCCGUCAAUCUAACAUCAAGGACCACGUGCGCUUGCUAAUUGACCCCAUGGGGUUGUUGUCGUAGCCCUGAGCAUCAGCUAUCGACGCUCCAAAAGAGGCCGCAGCUGGCACCCCUGGGUUGGCGGCGCAGAGGCCGCAGCCGGGGGCGCCACCACCGCUCCUGUGCCUCCUGCGCGUGAGAACAUUCUUAUACUUGUUGAUAUUCUGGAUCACAUCCUGCACCGACUGCACCUUCUCCCUGGCAGAGGCGAGCUGAUCAACCAUCUAGCAACGGCGCAGGUAUAGGAGACAGGCACCAGUACAUGCACUACGGUGGGUUAGGGGCAUGUACCUGGCCUUGCCGGAGAACUAGGUGACGCUAUCAUGGACCCGCCGGAGGAGGCUCCCCCACGAGGGCUAACAAGCCCAAGCACCAUAGCUAGGUGUAGAUCGGCUGCUGAAGGUGUGGAUCUGGUGCCAUCGUUGCUGGAACAGGUGUGGGGGUAGGACAGUGGCUGCCGUGUCCAUGGUCGGUCUACUCCUGUUGUCCCCCGGCAACCUACACGCACAUACAUGCAGCAGCACCAAGAAUAAAGAUCCAAUGUUUAUCUGCACCAAAAUAUGCGGGUAGAGCAUUAUAUUCUGUAUUCAUGUCAGUACAUCAAAUGUAGUUUUUAAAAGUGACAUUCCAUUGGCUGUGACCUUGGCAAAUGGUAUGAAUUUUCAUUCCAAAAAUACAACCCAAAGUUGCAGGGAUGCACAUUAAACAAUUAAAAUAGAAUACAAUUCAUCUUGACCAACACCCACCGUGUAGGGAGGACCAGAAUAUUGGUUUUCGUGAAUUCAUUGAAUCUUGAAUGCAUCACAUGCUUCCUGCUGAAGAGAGAAGCAAGUUGUUAUUUUUUGGCCUUUUGUAAUGAAACAUCUAAUUAUCGAUCUCAGAAAUGAUAAUGAUGAUUAUCUCCUGUUCAUAUGAACAUAUGUAACACUUAAUACGCUGAAUCAAAACUUGAAUCUGCCUUUAGACAAAAAGGCGUGUGAGCAUGCCAUUCAGUUUGACUGCUUAAUAUGUUCCAUUACUGUGAGACGGCGAAACCCCGCAUAAGGGGCCAUACGAAGAGACAUAUAUAUCAGUUCAACGAGCUCGAGUUAACUAACUGAAAUUAGAAAAAUCUUAACUUUUUAAACUGUGCAUACAAUGAAACGAAAAAUAAAGACAGAGAUGGAGAAGCUUGCUAGCCUUAUGCCAAGACUGAUGCAAGUUGUAGUUACUAGUGAAAGUCCUCAGUUCUUGGCACCACUAAAUAUAGAGUUUUAUUCUAUUGACUCAUCAAACAAAUAUAGACAGUUAGCAAUAGCUCUGAUGAGAUUGCACGCUGCAUCUUUUUAAUUGAAACGGCACAAAAGAGGCUUACUAUUAUAACAUAUUAAAAGAAUAGUUGCAUGCUUAGACCGCCAGUUUGUUUCUUAUUACAGAUGAAUUUCCAAUUUACAAGAUGCAUUGUGUGUUAUCUUUCAGAAUCGUUACACACGUAGUUGGCCUUUUUUCAGAGGUUUUCAUGAUAAUGUGAAAAGGUUAAACGAAAAAAAUCCGUAUUUCAGUCCCCCUGCCGUAGCCAAUGGGUGUGUCCCCUUUGUAUCGCUGUCUAUUCUAAGUGUUCCUGCACCAGCACAUAAAAAUGCAGCUGCAAGACAUGUGAGACAGACGACCAUAUGAUUGAGUGAUGAUGUCUUUCUAAUAUCGUCUGUACUUUUUUUUCUAAUAUCUGUCUAAGCGGGCCUGCCUAAUCAAGAGUCAUGAUGUCUUUUGUUGCAUGAUUGAGAUUAUAUGCAUGCAGCAUCUUUUAGACUGGAAAGGGCCCUACUAACAGAAGAGUUGCAAUGCAUGUGAAGCAGCACCACUUUUCCUCCACAUUGCUAAUUUGGUGCAAAUUCAGUACAGACACAUACUAUAUGUCUACAUUCUACACAACAGCACAGUACAGAAUCACAGAUAUAGACCAUAGCAUCUCUCAUCCCUUCCAUGUAAGCAACAACUCAAUUUAGUGCAACCAAGAAAUUUAGUGCAAUCACUAGAAAAAUGAUGAACCAUGCCUACAUCCUGGGGUUUUCGCGUCAAUGUUUGACCCAAGUAACGGCUACAUCCUUUACACCAGGACGCAAGUAACCAUGUGGAGGAGAAACAUUUCUUAAUGAACAAGUUGAACGGGGCAAACGUUACUGACAUACAGGUAGGAAAAAAAUUGUAUCCCCCGAAGUGUAAGCUUAAAAUUGCUACAAACGUUACAAGACUUCUUAAUGAAACCUCUAAUUAUUGAUCUCAGAAAUGAUCAUGAUGAUUAUCUCCUGUUCAUAUGGACCUAUGUAACACUUAAUAUGCUGAACGAAAACAUGACAAUCAUCCUUUAGUUGAUGGUGACAGAAAGGCGUGUGAGUAUGCCAUCAAAUUUGAUAGUAGCUUAAUAUAUUUCAUUUACUACAAGCCGGUGAGACCCCACAUAAGGGGCCAUACGAAAAAAUUAUAUCAGCUCAACGAGCUCGAGUUAAUUAACUAACUAAAAUCAGAAGAUAAAAACUAACAUUUUAACUGCACAUAUAGUGAAACGAAAAAUAAAGGUAGAAAUGGAGAAGAAUGCUAACCCUAUGCCGAGACUGAUGCAGGUUGUAGUUACUAGUUCAAGUCCUCAGUUCUUGGCACCACUACGCAUAGAGUUUUAAUCUGUUGGCACAUCAAACACAGUUAGCAAUAGCUCUGGUGAGAUUACAAGCUGCGUCUUUUUUAUUGAAACGGCACAGAAGAGGCCUACUAGUAUAAUAAUGUAUUAUACGGAAGAGUUGCAUAGCUAAACUGCUAGUUGUUUCUUAUUAGGGAUGAAUUUCUUGUUUACAAGAUGGACCACGUGGUAUCAUUCAGAAUCAUUCCACGUGUAGUUGGCCUUUUUUUCAGAGGUUUACAAGAUACAACCUGCAUGUAACAAACAUCAUCACAAAAGUUUAGACUUUAAUGGCAACAGACCGACUAUUAUGACUUUAUUAAACUAUCUUAAAAGUAGGUGUCAAAUAUCUAAACCAUCUUAAAAUGGCUAGAUUCAGAGCACACUAUUAUUAGUUUGAACUGAAUUUGUGCAAAGUAAUAAAAACACGUCUGUUCGAAGUAUGUGCAGCCACGCCAAAGUAAUAUAACAAUGUAUGCCUCUUUUUAUUUUGAGGGGAAUACACCGGAUGAUUAGGUCAACCUUUUUAUAAUAUACUCCAGUGAUCUAAAAGGUCUUAUAUUUAUAUUUGUUUACUGGGGGAGUAUAUUUUUCAGUACAAGAUGCUAUAAGACAAACUAAGCAGGAAAAACGAAGAAACCUGGUUUUCUUGUCAGUUAUGGGCCCACCACGCUUCCGCUGCGCCACUCUGAUUUUCUUGUCAGUUUUUGGUGUGAGUCUCCUAUAUAUACAAGUAGCUUACAUGGACGACGACGGUCACUCUUAUGCUGGUUUUGUCCUACUUUAAUGAACUGUCCACUACCAUGGCCAAGGUAUUGAAUUUGAACAACAAAGGUUGGACUUCCACGCCGACGGCGACGAGGACAUUGCGCGUCAGCGACACGAGUAACGGGGCCGUCGGCCCGUCCAUCUUGAACGCCAACGUCAUAAACGUAAUCCUCCAGAUCCCGUCGGUGGCAUUGGUGUUGCAGAAGGACGCUACGUUGCCGUAUGCCCGUGCCUCGCUCUCAGCGAUGGAAAUGCCGAUGAGCUCCACCGGAAAUACAUCUGAGUCGUUACCGGAGACCGUCACCUGGGCAGCUCCUCCGGAACGGAGAGGGAGGAAGGCGCGAGGGGGGUUGAAGGAGUCGUUGCAGGUGACCUCGAACCCCUUAUCCCGGAAGCAGCCGGGCUUCAUGCCGAACGGGAAGGGAAUGCUGACGUUGCCGCACUUGUCCGGGCAAGUGUGACCGGCAAGUGUGACCGGCAGCUCAUGAUUUUCAGCAAUGGUUGGCUGGACCAAGAGCGUCGACGCUGCAACGAGAACUUGGAGUAGAACCGGGAGCAGCUGGAAAUGGAGCUGCGAGAGCGUGGCCAUGGUGCUGUUUUGCUGCUCUGUGGAUGCAAUAGCUUUAUAGUUUAUAUAGAGCAUCCACACGGUUGCUUGUAAAUUACACCUUGCCCUACAUAUUUAUGCAUGCAUUUCACAAUACCCCAGGGUUCAGAAGCUGCAUAUGUUUUAUUUCGCUGCAAUUCUGACUUGAACCCAGUUGAAGUAUUCUCUGUUCCGCAAACGGGGUUGACUUAAAUUUGUUGUAAUAUGGGGGUAAUGUGCAAAAGGACAGCUGUUUGAUGGUCCAAAAAAAAUGUGGUUGUGUUUUCAUAAAGACUGGCGUGGAUUGCACGAUCUAGGAGUUAUCUUCAAAUCCUGGAAACAACUUGGAUGGGUGGCAGGAUGCAAAUAGCAUAAUAUGCCAUUUGCAUAACAGCAUAGUAUGCUUUCCAAAGCAUAGUAUUUAAUAGAACAAGUUGGUGAAAUAGCAAGGUGUUAUCAGUUGAGUACUAAAAUGUUGAUGGGUCUCCGUAAAACAUAUAUAAUAUGAGUGGCACGGGAGCCAUUCUUGGGGAUGUGCAGGGCUUCUUCCUAGCGGCGUCUAGCAACGACCUCCAGUUUGUGGAAGACGCAACAACGACAGAGGCACGAGCUCAGUUUUCCCAAUGCUUUUUGUUCGGUAGUGUAGUCGUAGUUCUGCGUGAUCCGGUUAUCUCGGGAUCGACAUUGUUUGAGGGCUACCUCAUCAUCUUGUAUCGUUUGGCCGUGUAUUUGGUUCGGUGUUUGCUUUAUUUAUAAAGCGGGGCGAAAGCCUGUUUCGGGAAGAUGGCUUGAUUCUGCCAAACUUGGUUGGCUGCAACAAUCUAUAUGUCGAGGCCCACUGAAUUGAAGUGAUCGAUAUAAUAAUGAAUGGGGGAAACUCUAUGGGACCGGCGGCAGCCUUAUACGAAGAAUGCUCUUUUCAAGUGGAAAUUUUUCUUCUAUUACUUUCAAGCAUUGUCCUAGAGAAGCCAAUAUGGUUGCUGAUGCUCUAGCUAGUAGAUCGGAGCAUGACCGAUCCAUUGCAUGGAAUUGGGAACCUCCUGACUUUCUUGCUUAUAUCUUAGCAAACGGUGUAUCUCUCUUUGAGCAUGAGAUAUAAAACACCAUGAUGGCAUUCCCCCAUAAAAACAUAAUAUGAGUGGAUUGCAACAUGCAGGAGUAAAACCCUAAAAUCAAUAAAAGGAGACUUGGGUUGUGUAUAACAUUCACAAGGAAGCUGCGAGCCAUCCUACGGACGUUCCGGGUUGAUCCACUAGAGCCACGACCAAUGCAACCUAAGAGCCCUACCAAACCUGUCAAGAUUCGUGGUGCCUAGGCCCCUGAGGACCUUCNNNNNNNNNNNNNNNNNNNNNNNNNNNNNNNNNNNNNNNNNNNNNNNNNNNNNNNNNNNNNNNNNNNNNNNNNNNNNNNNNNNNNNNNNNNNNNNNNNNNNNNNNNNNNNNNNNNNNNNNNNNNNNNNNNNNNNNNNNNNNNNNNNNNNNNNNNNNNNNNNNNNNNNNNNNNNNNNNNNNNNNNNNNNNNNNNNNNNNNNNNNNNNNNNNNNNNNNNNNNNNNNNNNNNNNNNNNNNNNNNNNNNNNNNNNNNNNNNNNNNNNNNNNNNNNNNNNNNNNNNNNNNNNNNNNNNNNNNNNNNNNNNNNNNNNNNNNNNNNNNNNNNNNNNNNNNNNNNNNNNNNNNNNNNNNNNNNNNNNNNNNNNNNNNNNNNNNNNNNNNNNNNNNNNNNNNNNNNNNNNNNNNNNNNNNNCAAACAAUAUUCCAGUUCACAAGCGAGUACCCACCUCCGACGGUCUCACUAUCCUCUUCAUAUGAAAGGUGCUCGUGGAGGUAAGCAUCGCCUUGGAAACCGUGACUCUUCUGACCCUUAUGACAUUCUUACUCUUCCAACAAAACAAUCUACCACGAAUGUUUUCGAUGAUACGCUGCAAAUGAUGUUCUAAGGUGGCGUGCAUGUAGAGGGAGCACCAGGUAGCUCUGGAAGCUUUUGCUCUUUGCAGUCCUUCCUCGAUUAGCCUGGGAGGCUGUUUGUAAUUUUUCCUCAUGCCAUGAUCAAGUGAAAUUAGCAUCUGCCCCUUGGUGAAGGCAUUCGUGGGUUGCUUCUUAAUGAAAAGUAGUGUGUCGGCGUAGCUACACAGAAAGCUUUGACUCGAUGGGUGGUGGCGACUUCUAGUGUGUCGCCUCAUUCGGGACAUGCCAUACCCUCACAACGUCAUGAGGCGAGGGAGGCACUCCUCUUUGGCAUAAUGGUCAAGGAGAUGUAGAAGCCAUUCGGGUCCCGUAUAGAUUACCCACCUUCGCCAUUUGAUACAUCUCAAACAUCGCCCACCACAGCCCCAUCAACCUGGGACACCUGUAGAGGUUAUGGAAAGUGUACUCACGUUCCAUGGCACAUGUAGUAGUGCACAUGUGAGAUGGUUCCAAGUUCCUUUUAGCUUUAUUAUCCACAGAGUUUCUAGCCAACUUCUGGGCAAACACUCAUCCCUUGAGAGGGACUAGGCAUCCCCACACUGCCUUCCAGAUGGCACCCCCACACAUAGCAGUAAAGGAACGCCAAGGUGGCAGAAGAUGGUGUGAGCUUGUGAAGAAUGAUUUUUAAUUAUUCUUGACACCAUCUUGCCUACCCGAGCCGAUUUGUUUUUUUUGAACUGUUGGUCCUUAGUUGCAUACAUCUUGGUUCUAAUAGAGACCAGGAGAAAACCCCUUGAUUGUAUACCUAACGAAACACCCAAAAUAAUUUUCAUAUGAUGAAGAGCAAACGAGUACAUAGCAAGAUUAUAUCUGAUGAAAGCAUACUGUCCGUAGAAUAAGAAUUUUCUCAAACUAUUAAACAAAGGCAAAAAAAUCAUUUUACCAUCCAAGAUGAAGAUUGUGGCAGCUUUUACCCAAUUUAAAAGAAAUUCAUCAAAACUACCCCAUCUGGCAUAGUUUGUGCCAGUUUUGACUGAUAGCGUGCUCCACCUCUUGGAACUAGCUAAAUGCUUUCACAAAAAAGAAACCCGGGUAAAUGCUAUAUAAUAGAGUAGAACCAUCUUUCUUAAAUGCGGUAGUUCCGAUGAAUUCCUGCUAAAUGGGGUAAAACUAUUCACAAACUACAUCUAGGCCCGGUAUAAAUGUAUGUUAUUUACUCUUAAAAAAUAUGGCUUUUGCAUAUGGUUUCAAAGUUGUCGAGACUAGUUGGCCCCUCACAAUUAUAGCUAGUUGUUUGUUAAGAAUGAAUAACUAAAAAGUUUCUCCAAUGGAAGUACAAUACUCUUCGCAAGGGACAUACCAUAUAUGUGGAAAGCACGACAUGUUGUCCUACAUUUAGAAUUUUAGCGUUAGAUUCCUUAAAAAUAGAAUUCUUCUCGAUAGAUCUAGACCUAUCAAGGAAAGUCAAACCCUGUAUUUUCCUCCAUGAUAAUGAGACAAGUUUUGCUUUAGAUCUUAGGAUCCUGAAAUAUCGAAGGAAAGUCAAACCCAUGUAUUUUACUCCAUGAUAAUGGAAAAUACAGGCUGGACACUCCUCGAGGCACCACAUUGAGUAACAUCAGACAUACCACACGCAUUGCAGCGGGAAUUUGUUGUAGUGUAUUUUAAUAAGAUUUGAUUUAAUUGAAUAUAAAUAUUUGAAUUAUUAAGAUGACAAUCAAAAUUGAAAAUACAUAUAAUUUAUAAUAUUUAGUUAUGUAUAGUAAUAAAAUAAUUAUUACAUACAAAUAGCAUAAUAGUAGUAACAGAACAUAAAUUAUUGAUUUUUUCAUGCAUGAUUGCAUGUUAAGGUAAAAAAUGUUACUAUAAUCCCGAGCACAAAUGAACUCACAUGAACGUAAACAUAAAAGAUAAUAGAAAAAUAUUUUUAAAAUAAAUGUUUUUGCGAAUGAACAUCAACAAGAAGUAUUCUAACAUCCUGAAAAUUUUCUCCACGAAAAGACUGCUAGAAUUUAGUCUAUUUUGGGACAGCCCAAUAACUAUUUCAGAAAUUUCUAAAUAAAUCCUAGAGGGCCACUUAGCCCAUUAGUGCAAGGCAAGGGAUACUACUAAAAGUUUAGUCCCACAUUGCUAGUUUAGUGGGAGUUGGACCUCCUUAUAAGGAAGGUUCUUUCCCCACUUGUAUGAGCAUGAGAACAAGAGGGAUAUCCAUGCGCGCUCCUCCUCCGCCGCCCGCCACGCCACGCCUCGUCACGACGCGCCGCGCCGCGCCGCGGGUUGCGGGAACGAGCCGAUAUCUAAAUUUUUGCCAUGCACUACGGGUAUACGAAAGGUCACUCGGGAGCUGGAAAGUUUUUACUGUAGUGGAUAUUGAAUACGAACGCUGCACCCUUCGGCUGUUGACUGUUCGUUUCGUCUCCCGCGUUCCCUUCAGCUCCCGGCGCAGCCUCUCGCCUCCUUCUCUUGCGCCUAUAAAAGCGAGGUCGCUCCUCUCAAAGAGACGCACCAGAACUACUCCUUCCUCUCGCCACCGGUUCCUGAGCACUGCGCUGCUGCUACGAUCUCCCCAUCCCGGCUUGCGGCGUGCACCGCAGGUCGGGACAGUAGGCCUCCGAAACCACACCUUUUGAGUCAUGUACGGGAGAAGGGUGAUAAGGUUUUUGGGGAGCGCUCUGCGCGACUACUGACUUCUUAGUCACGGAUGCUCCGGACUCCGACGACUACUUCCCUGACGACGACUACUUCCCCAACGUCGACAACCUCCUCGACGACAUGGAGGACACCGACCCCAAGUCCAGUGCCUCUGCUCCUGCUGCUGUCCAAUACGUGUUCUUAUUUUUCCUGUUAGAAGUCCUGCAUCAGUUCUUUGGUCUAGUGUUUGCCUAGACAUGUUAGGCUCUACUUCAUAUAUGCAUCUUGAUUUACUGUCUGCUCUAGAGAUGAUCCGUUCUAGCUCAUAUAUGCAGAUAUUAUUUACCUUCUCUUUGUCAAAUUGCAUGGCUUGUUUUAUCACUGCUAUACUAGUCAUGCUUUAUCUAGUAUUUCUGUUAAUAAAAUCAUUCGGUAAAUUGCUCAUAUUUCCAACAACCCAAAAACCUUAUUAUAGGCAAUUUACCCCAAGUGGUUUUGCUGCUUCCAGGAGACCUCCUAUGUUUGAGGGUAUCCACUAUAAGAGGUGGCUCAUGAGAGCAGUCUUAUGGUUUCAAACCAUGAAUUGCUAUGACGCCACUCUUGGCAAACCUAAAUGAGAGCAAGAUGCCCAACAGGCACAAGCUUUUCAGAAAAUGGAUACCUUGUUUAAGGCUGCUCUCUUGAGUGUUCUUGGUGAGAACAUAGUUGAUGCUUAUGCGUCAAUUGAUAAUGGAAAAGAUAUGUGGGAUGCACUCGAGGCCAAGUUUGGGGUCUCGGAUGCUGGCACUGAGCUGUACAUCAUGGAGCAAUUCUAUGACUAUAGGAUGACUGAAGAGCGCUCCGUGGUUGAGCAAGCUCAUGGGAUACAGUCAUUUGCUAGAGAGCUUGAGCACUUCAAUUGUAUCCUACCGGACACGUUUAUUGCCGGAGGUAUCAUCACUAAGCUUCCUCCCACGUGGAGGAACUUUGCUACCUCACUGAAGCAUAAGAGGCAGGAGUUUUCCGUUUCGGAUCUCAUUGGUACUCUUGAUGUGGAAGAAAAGGCGAGAGCAAAGGACAACCGUGCUUGAUGUAUUGAGGGAGGUUCUAGUGCCAAUCUGGUACAGAAAAAGAACUUCUAGUCCCACAAGUUCAAGAAUAAGGGCAAGCUUGAUGGUAAAGGAAAGUUUGAUGGGAAGAACAAGGCUGUGCAGCACAUGAACUUCAAGAAGAAGAAUGACAAGAAGAAAGGUGUUUGUCAUGUGUGUGGGGAUCCUGAUCAUUGGGCUCCUAGUUGCCCUAAUCGUUAUGACAAGCGUCAUCCUGGGAAAGGCGGCAAGACCGCUAAUGUUGUCAUUGGAGGCACUGACAUGAAGGAUGCUGGGUAUGGUAUAUUUCCCACUAUUCUUUCAGUAUGUCAUUCUCCUGAUUGGUUGAUUGACACGGGUGCUAAUGUGCAUGUAUGCGGUGAUAUUUCCAUGUUUUCGUCUUAUCAGACCGCAGGGACUUCAACCAUGCUGAUGGGCAACGGUUCAAGUGCUUCUGUUCGUGGUGUUGACACAGUCGAUCUGAAGUUUACUUCGGGGAAGAUCGUGCGGCUGAAGAACGUGCAUUAUGUCUCCUCCGUCGAUAAAAAUCUUGUUAGCGGAUCUCUUCUGUGCAGAGAUGGCUACAAGCUUGUCUUUGAGUUGAAUAAAUUUAUAAUUUCCAAGUAUGGAACCUUUGUUGGUAAAGGCUAUGAGUCAGGAGGCCUAUUUCGUUUAUCCUUAUCAGACGUUUGCAAUAAAGUUGUUAAUCAUAUUUGCAACAAUAGUGAAUGAAAUGUGUGGCAUUCACGUCUUUGUCAUGUUAACUUUGGUUGCAUGUCGCGACUAGCGAAAUUGAACUUAACCAUUAGUUUCACCACCGUCAAGGGAUCCAAGUGUCAAGUAUGUGUGCAAGCUAAGCAACCUCGUAAGUCUCAUGUGACUGCGGAAACGAGAAAUCUUGCACCACUAGAACUCAUACAUUCAGAUCUAUGUGAAAUGAAUGGUGUUUUGACAAAAGGUGGAAAGAAAUAUUUCAUGACUUUAAUUGACGACUCCACUAGAUACUGCCGCGUGUAUCUUCUGAAAUCUAAGGAUGAGGCUUUGAACUUUUUCAAGAUUUAUAAAGCUGAAGUGGAAAACCAACUUGAUCAAAAAAUCAAGAGGCUUAGUUCCGACCGUGGUGGAGAGUAUUUUUCCAAUGAAUCUGAUGCUUUUUGUGCGGAACAUGGUAUAAUCCAUGAGAGGAUGCCUCCCCAUUCACCUCAGUCAAAUGGGGUGGCCGAAAGGAAGAAUCGUACUCUAACUGAUUUGGUUAACGCCAUGUUAGACACAUCGGGUCUCUCCAAGGCAUGGUGGGGGGAGGCGAUAUUGACUGCAUGUCAUGUCCUAAACCGAGUUCCCACAAAGAACAAAGAGAUAACUCCAGUCGAGAAAUGGGAGAAGAAAAGGUUAAAGCUCUCUUAUCUACGAACCUGGGGUUGUUUGGCGAAAGUCAAUGUGCCAGUUCCAAAGAAGCGGAAGCUGGGACCAGAAACCGUGGAUUGUGUUUUCAUGGGAUAUGCUUUUCAUAGCAUUGGUUAUAGAUUCUUGGUUGUAAAAUCUGAGGUACCUGACAUGCAUGUCGGUACGAUCAUGGAGUCGAAUGAUGCGACUGUCUUUGAAGAUAUCUUUCCCAUGAAGGAUAUGGCUACCUCAUCUAAUCCGGAGAUGCCUAGUUCAUCGAAUCAGGAACCAGUUACAAUUACUGAACCUGCCAUUUCGAUGGAACACUUUGAAAGUUUUGUGGAGGAGAACAACGAAGUUCCUACUAGGAGCAAGACACAGAGGACUGCAAAGUCCUUUGGUGAUGAUUUUCUUGUGUAUCUCAUAGAUGACACUCCUAGUUCUAUUUCAGAGGCCUAUGCAUCUGAAGAUGCUGACUACUGGAAGGAAGCAGUUCGUAGCGAGAUGGAUUCCAUCUUGGCGAAUGAAACUUGGGAGAUAACUGAUCGUCCUUAUGGGUGCAAACCUAUAGGAUGCGAAUGGGUAUUCAAGAAGAAGCUUAGGCCUGAUGGUACUAUUGAAAAGUACAAGGCUCGGCUCGUGGCUAAGGAUUAUACCCAAAAGGAAGAUGAAGAUUUCUUUGAUACUUACUCACCUGUGGCUCGACUGACCACUAUUCGAGUUCUACUUUCACUAGCUGCCUCACAUGGUCUUCUUGUUCAUCAAAUGGAUGUUAAGACUGCUUUCCUAAAUGGAGAGUUGGACGAGGAAAUUUAUAUGGAACAACCAGAUGGGUUUGUAAUAGAUGGUCAGGAAGGGAAAGUGUGCAAGUUGUUGAAGUCUUUGUGUGGACUCAAGCAAGCACCCAAACAGUGGCAUGAGAAGUUCGAAAGAACUUUAACAGCUGCAGGCUUUGUUGUGAAUGAAGCUGAAAAAUGUGUGUACUAUCACCAUGGUGGGGGCGAGGGAGUUAUGCUUUGCUUGUAUGUUGAUGACAUACUGAUUUUCGGAACAAAUCUGAAUGUUGUUAAGGAGGUCAAGGAUUUUCUAUCUCACUGUUUUGAGAUGAAGGAUUUAGGAGUAGCUGAUGUCAUUCUGAACAUCAAGUUGUUGAGAGACGAUGAUGGUGGGAUUACAUUGCUUCAAUCUCACUAUGUGGGAAAGAUCUUGAGUCGCUUUGGCUACAGUGACUGCAAGCCCUCUCCAACACCAUAUGAUGCUAGUGUGUUGCUUCGAAAGAAUCAAAGAAUUGCUAGAGACCAAUUGAAAUAUUCUCAGAUUAUUGGCUCGCUUAUGUACUUAGCCAGUGCUACAAGACCUGACAUCUCUUUUGCUGUCAGCAAACUGAGCCGGUUUGUUUCAAAACCAGGAGAUGUGCAUUGGAAAGCUCUAGAGAUAGUUUUGCGUUACUUGAAAGGCACUGCGAAUUAUGGAAUUCACUACACUGGGCACCCAAAGGUGCUUGAAGGGUAUAGUGACUCAAACUGGAUCUCAGAUGCUGAUGAGAUAAAGGCCACGAGCGGAUAUGUAUUCACUCAUGGAGGUGGCGCUGUUUCUUGGAAGUCUUGCAAGCAGACCAUCUUAACGAGGUCAACAAUGGAAGCAGCACUCACAGCACUAGAUACAGCUACGGUCGAAGCAGAUUGGCUUCGCCGGCUCUUGAAUGACUUGCCGGUUGUUGAGAAACCUGUACCGGGUAUCCUUAUGAACUGCGACAAUCAAACUGUGAUCACGAAAGUGAACAGCUCAAAGGAUAACAUGAAGUCAUCAAGACAUGUUCAGAUAAGGUUAAAGUCUGUCAGAAAAAUGAGAAACUCUAGAGUUAUUGCAUUGGAUUAUAUCCAAACGUCUAAAAAUCUGGCAGAUCCUUUCACUAAGGGUCUAUCACGUAAUGUGAUAGAUAAUGCAUCGAGGGAGAUGGGUAUGAGACCCACAAUAUGAGUUGUUCACGGUGGUAACUUAUUCUUUGUGAUCGAAGAUCCCGUGAAUUAGAUGUGGAAGACAAGCUGUUGGUCAACUGGGAGGAGAGUACCCUUACUAUUAAAAAUACCAUUCCAUGAAGAUGCAAUACUCUCCUAAUCUGCAUGGCAGGUUGAUGUAUAUCUUAAUGUGUUCUAAGUGGCUCUUUGAAGCAGAGAUGUUGUCCUGCAGAACAUCUUUUGAAGAACACACAUAUAUGAGUCUGAUUGUUAAAGUCGCAAUCUAUGAGAGUAGGGUUCUCUCUAGUAAACUCAUGAAAGGUCUCGGAGUAUGACGCAUAAGCUCCACCGGCGGGGAAGACCCACGGUAGCCACGUAUCGGUCAAGGCUUUAUAUGAAGCUAGAUUCGCAGAAAACUUGCAGUUCAAAGCCCAGUCCACUGUUCAAGUUGCUUACUAGUGUAGCAUAGGGCUCUAGGUGGAAGUUCAACUUAACAGUCUCUACUGCAGUACCGGUAUAUAAAACAAUGUUUUGGAACCAAAGGCAAAUUUUGUGCGCCUCUGGGAUCUGGUGGGGGAUUGCUGGAAUUUAGUCUGUCUUGGGACAGCCCAAUAACUAUUUCAGAAAUUUCCAAAUAAAUCCUAGAGGCCCACUUAGCCCAUUUGUGCAAGGCAAGAGAUACUACUAAAAGUUUAGUCCCAUAUUGCUAGUUUAGUGGGAGUUGGACCUCCUUAUAAGGGAGGUUCUUUCCCCACUUGUAUGAGCAUGAGAACAAGAGGGAUAUCCACGCGCGCUCCUCCUCCGCCACCCGCCUCGCCUCGUCACAACGCGCCGCGCCGCGGGUUGCGGGAAUGAGCCGAGCCGAUAUUCGUUUCAUCUCUCGCGUUCCCUUCAGCUCCUGGUGCAGCCUCUCGCCUCCUUCUCUUGCGCCUAUAAAAGUGAGGUCGCUCCUCUCAGAAAGACACACCAGGUCUACUUCUUCCUCUCGUCACCGGUUCCUGAACACUGCGCUGCUGCUACGAUCUCUCCAUCCCGGCUUGCGGCGUGCACCGCAGGUCGGGACAGUAGGCCUCUGGAACCGCACCUGUACGGGAGAAGGGUGAUAAGGUUUUUGGGGAGCGCUCUGCGCGACUACUGACUUCUUCGUCAUGGAUGCUCCGGACUCCGACGACUACUUCCCCGACGACGACUACUUCCCCGACGUCGACAACCUCCUCGACGACAUGGAGGACACCGACCCCAAGUCCAGUGCCUCUGCUCCUGCUGCUGUCCAGUACGUGUUCUUAUUUUUCCUGUUAGAAGUCCUGCAUCAGUUCCUUGUUCUAGUGUUUGCCUAGACAUGUUAGGCUCUACUUCAUAUAUGCAUCUUGAUUUACUGUCUGCUCUAGAGAUGAUCCGUUCUAGCUCAUAUAUGCAGAUAUUAUUUACCUUCUCUUUGUCAAAUUGCAUGGCUUGUUUUAUCACUGCUAUACUAGUCAUGCUUUAUCUAGUAUUUUUGUUAAUAAAAUAAUUCGGUAAAUUGCUCAUAUUUCCAACAAAGACAUCUAUAGAAAUCUGUGCCAAAAAAUGGGUGCUCCAAAAUGCGUCUUUUUGUGUACCCAUUUUUUUGUACACGCCUCCAUGCAUAUCUUUCGAAGGUGAAAUUUUGCAAGCUGUUAGAAUAUUUGUUGAUGUUCAUCCACAAUAAACUUAAUAUUAAUUUUCAGAUUUUCCUAUUCAUGCGGGGUAUUUGAGCUCGGAAGCGGAUAAUCUACCAAACGAUACGCCUUUCUUAUAGUAUUGAAGUAUCUAACUUCUGUUUUUUAAGGAUUUCGAGAAAACGCCAUCAUGCACGUCGGAUCUCAUGUAUUAAUCCCAAAGCAUUAGCACCAAAUACAUCCUCUUCGUGCACUACGAGAUGAGGACAUUAAUUGGUUCACUUAGGAUGGCAAUCUGAGUGAACACAUUCGGGGAUGACAAUUUCUAUUUUUAGAGCAUGGAAAUUCUCACCUUUUUCGGUUGAUGUUGAAUGGCAAUUUCCUUCACCUAGCAUGGCAAAUCUUGAGCAUGAAAUGUUUCACUUUUAUUUUUUAGGAUUGCAAUUCUCCAUUCUGGAAUCAUGGCAAAAUCCUCGAAAAUGCAUGGCAAUUACUCUGCUGCAGCUUAACAAUUUCCUAAUAAUCUUUUUAUACAACAUGGCAACUUUUACUUUAAGACAUGGCAAAUCCUUAUGUAAGAGCAUGGCAAUUGACAAUUUUCGGACAAUCUUAUUAUAUACUUAGCAAUUUUUACUUUAAAACAUGGCAAAUCCAUAUGUAACAUAACGGAAAAUUAUUUAUUUUCCCAUCCUAUUUAUCGAUUCGGGCUGAGCAAAAAUCAAACGGAUCUAGAAAUAGGCAAUCUUAGAUGCACAAGAUGAAAAGUAAUGUAAGGCAAGCCUUUUUUUAAGGGGAAUACACCGGAUGUUUAAGAUAACUUUUUUAUAAUAUACUCUAGUGAUCUAAAAGGUCAUAUAUUUGUUUGCAGACGGAGUAUAUGACCGACAAAAGAUUGGCCCAUCAAAAUGGAGAACCCCAACCGCGUCUGUUUGUAGUGGAUGAAUAGGAAAAAAUCACCAAAAUAAGAAAUUAUCAGAGCCAUGUUUCGAUCCUGGGACCUGUGGGUUAUGGGACCACCACGCUUCCGCUGCGCCACUCUGAUUUUCUUGUCUGUUUUUGCAACGCCCACUGGUAGAAAAAGAGGCUUCCGUCCAGCCCCAUUAGUCGCGAAACUGUAGGAACCGCGACUAAUGAAGUCUUUAGUCGCGGUUCGGCAGACGAACCGCGACCAAAGGCCUGGGCCCAGGGCGCUCGGUGGCCAGCUGGUGCACGUGAUGGGCUUUAGUCGCGGUUGGCCAGGCCAACCNNNNNNNNNNNNNNNNNNNNNNNNNNNNNNNNNNNNNNNNNNNNNNNNNNNNNNNNNNNNNNNNNNNNNNNNNNNNNNNNNNNNNNNNNNNNNNNNNNNNNNNNNNNNNNNNNNNNNNNNNNNNNNNNNNNNNNNNNNNNNNNNNNNNNNNNNNNNNNNNNNNNNNNNNNNNNNNNNNNNNNNNNNNNNNNNNNNNNNNNNNNNNNNNNNNNNNNNNNNNNNNNNNNNNNNNNNNNNNNNNNNNNNNNNNNNNNNNNNNNNNNNNNNNNNNNNNNNNNNNNNNNNNNNNNNNNNNNNNNNNNNNNNNNNNNNNNNNNNNNNNNNNNNNNNNNNNNNNNNNNNNNNNNNNNNNNNNNNNNNNNNNNNNNNNNNNNNNNNNNNNNNNNNNNNNNNNNNNNNNNNNNNNNNNNNNNNNNNNNNNNNNNNNNNNNNNNNNNNNNNNNNNNNNNNNNNNNNNNNNNNNNNNNNNNNNNNNNNNNNNNNNNNNNNNNNNNNNNNNNNNNNNNNNNNNNNNNNNNNNNNNNNNNNNNNNNNNNNNNNNNNNNNNNNNNNNNNNNNNNNNNNNNNNNNNNNNNNNNNNNNNNNNNNNNNNNNNNNNNNNNNNNNNNNNNNNNNNNNNNNNNNNNNNNNNNNNNNNNNNNNNNNNNNNNNNNNNNNNNNNNNNNNNNNNNNNNNNNNNNNNNNNNNNNNNNNNNNNNNNNNNNNNNNNNNNNNNNNNNNNNNNNNNNNNNNNNNNNNNNNNNNNNNNNNNNNNNNNNNNNNNNNNNNNNNNNNNNNNNNNNNNNNNNNNNNNNNNNNNNNNNNNNNNNNNNNNNNNNNNNNNNNNNNNNNNNNNNNNNNNNNNNNNNNNNNNNNNNNNNNNNNNNNNNNNNNNNNNNNNNNNNNNUCUUGCUCAUUUCGGUGAUACUUUCAUGGAGGAUGCUGAAGGUGAAGGGGAAGGUGAAGGGGAAGGUGAAGGUGAAGAAGAGGCACGUGAUGAGACCGUUGAUGAUCUUGGUCGGACCAUUGCUGAUGCACGGAGACGCUGCGAAACUGAAAAGGAGAGGGAGAAUUUGGAUCGCAUGUUAGAGGAUCACAGAAAGUCGUUGUACCCCGGAUGCGAUGAUGGUCUGAAAAAGCUGGGCUGCACACUGGAUUUGCUGAAAUGGAAGGCACAGGCAGGUGUAGCUGACUCGGCAUUUGAAAACUUGCUGAAAAUGUUGAAGAAUAUGUUUCCAAAGAAUAACGAGUUGCCCGCCAGUACGUACGAAGCAAAGAAGGUUGUCUGCCCUCUAGGUUUAGAGGUUCUGAAGAUACAUGCAUGCAUCAACGACUGCAUCCUCUACCGCGGUGAAUACGAGAAUUUGAAUGAAUGCCCAGUAUGCACUGCAUUGCAUUAUAAGAUCAGAGGCGAUGACCCUGGUGACGAUGUUGAGGGCGAGAAACCCAGGAAGAGGGUUCCCGCCAAGGUGAUGUGGUAUGCUCCUAUAAUACCACGGUUGAAACGUCUGUUCAGGAACAAAGAGCAUGCCAAGUUGUUGCGAUGGCACAAAGAGGACCGUAAGUCGGACGGGGAGUUGAGACACACCGCAGAUGGAACGCAAUGGAGAAAGAUCGACAGAGAGUUCAAAGAUUUUGCAGCUGACGCAAGGAACAUAAGAUUUGGUCUAAGUACAGAUGGCAUGAAUCCUUUUGGCGAGCAGAGCUCCAGCCAUAGCACCUGGCCCGUGACUCUAUGCAUCUACAACCUUCCUCCUUGGUUGUGCAUGAAGCGGAAGUUCAUUAUGAUGCCAGUUCUCAUCCAAGGUCCGAAGCAACCCGGCAACGACAUCGAUGUGUACCUAAGGCCAUUAGUUGAUGAACUUUUACAGCUGUGGGGCAGACCUGGUGUCCGUGUGUGGGAUGAGCACAAAAAAGAGGAAUUUAACCUACGAGCGUUGCUUUUCGUAACCAUCAACGAUUGGCCUGCUCUUAGUAACCUUUCAGGACUGUCAAAUAAGGGAUACAAUGCAUGCACGCACUGCUUACAUGAGACUGAAAGUGUACAUUUGCCAAAUUGUAAGAAGAACGUGUACCUUGGGCAUCGUCGAUUUCUUCCGAAAAUUUAUCCAGUAAGAAAGAAAGGCAAGCAUUACAACGGCAAGGCAGAUCACCGGCCGAAGCCUGCGGAACGCACUGGUGCUGAGGUAUUUGAUAUGGUCAAGGAUUUGAAAGUCAUCUUUGGAAAGGGUCCUGGCGGACAAUCAGUUCCGAAGGGAGCUGACGGGCACGCAGCCAUGUGGAAGAAGAAAUCUAUAUUCUGGGAGCUAGAAUAUUGGAAAGUCCUAGAAGUCCGCUCUGCAAUCGACGUGAUGCACGUUACGAAGAAUAUUUGCGUGAACCUCCUAAGCUUCUUGGGCGUGUAUGGGAAGACAAAUGAUACAAAGGAAGCACGGCAGGACCAGCAACGUUUGAAAGACCCUGAUGACCGGCAUCCGGAAUGGUUUCAAGGUCGUGCCAGCUACGCUCUGACCAAAGAAGAGAAGGUCAUCUUUUUUGAAUGCCUGAGCAGUAUGAAGGUCCCGUCUGGAUUCUCGUCCAAUAUAAAGGGAAUAAUAAACAUGGCGGAGAAAAAGUUCCAAAAUCUGAAGUCUCACGACUGCCACGUGAUUAUGACGCAAUUUCUUCCGAUUGCUUUGAGGGGGCUCCUGCCGGAAAAUGUUCGAGUAGCCAUUGUGAAGCUAUGUGCAUUCCUCAAUGCAAUCUCUCAGAAGGUAAUCAAUCCAGAAGAUCUACCACGGUUACAGAACGAUGUGAUCCAAUGUCUUGUCAGUUUUGAGUUGGUGUUCCCGCCAUCCUUCUUCAAUAUUAUGACGCACCUCUUGGUUCACCCAGUCGAAGAGAUUUUCAUUCUCGGUCCUGUAUUUCUACACAAUAUGUUCCCCUUCGAGAGGUUCAUGGGAGUAUUAAAGAAAUACGUUCGUAACCGUGCUAGGCCAGAAGGAAGCAUCGCCAAGGACUAUGGAAAUGAGGAGGUAAUUGAGUUUUGUGUUGACUUUGUUCCUGACCUUAAGCCGAUUGGUCUUCCUCGAUCGCGGCACGAGGGGAGACUAAGUGGAAAAGGCACGAUCGGAAGGAAAUCAACGAUAUGUAUGGGCGGCCAUUCUCUGACUGAAGCACACCACACUGUACUGACCAAUUCCAGCUUGGUGGCUCCGUACUUUGAGAAACACAAGAAUAUUUUACGCUCGGACAACCCGGGGAAGCCUGAAUCCUGGAUUAGGAAGGCCCACAUGGAGACUUUCGGUAGUUGGUUGAGAAAACAUUUAAUGAAUGACAAUGAUGUUCUAGAUCAGCUGUACAUGUUGGCCAAGACACCAUCUUCGACUAUAACGACUUUCCAAGGGUACGAGAUAAAUGGGAAUACAUUUUACACGAUCGCCCAAGAUAAAAAGAGCACCAACCAAAACAGUGGUGUCCGCUUUGAUGCAGCAACCGAGAAUGGGCAAAAGGUCACAUAUUAUGGUUACAUAGAGGAGAUAUGGGAACUUGACUAUGGACCCUCCUUUAAGGUCCCUUUGUUCCGGUGCAAAUGGUUCAAGCUAACAGGAGGUGGGGUAAAGGUGGACCAGCAAUACGGAAUGACAAUGGUGGAUUUCAACAAUCUUGGUUACCUUGACGAACCAUUCGUCCUAGCGAAAGAUGUCGCUCAGGUUUUCUAUGUGAAGGACAUGAGUAGCAAACCAAGGAAACGGAAAGAUAAGAAAACGAUCAGUACAUCAUGCGAUGAUCCAAAGCGCCACAUUGUUCUUUCAGGGAAAAGAAACAUCGUGGGAGUGGAGGACAAGACAGACAUGUCAGAAGAUUAUAAUAUGUUUGCUGAAAUUCCGCCCUUCAAAGUGAACACCGACCCAAGCAUUAAGUUAAAUGAUGAGGAUGCUCCAUGGAUACGGCACAAUCGUAAGCAAGCAGGGACACAAGGGAAGAAAUGAUGUGUAAUAAUUUAUUGUACCAAACUUUGUUGAAUGGAUCAUGUGAAUUAUAUUACCCGUGAUGUGUUUGGUGUCCAUUUUCGAAUGAUUCGAGAUACCACUGAUGAUACAUGAAAUUUGGAGUGAUUUAGUCAUACUCCUGCCUAGGCGUAUAAUAUGCAUACUCGUAGUCUUCAUAGCCGCCGCCGUUGUACUGGUAGUCGUCGCCUUCUAAGUUGCCGCCGUCGUCGUCGCUGCUGUCGUCGCUGUUGUCGAGCGGCGCUCGUGGGUCGAACUAAGGGUAGCGCAGGCGGGGGAUAUCGCCGGCCGUGAUGUAGUCCAUGACGCACUGCAGAGUCCGGCCGUACCACCAUAGCCGACGGCCGGCCUCUGGUAUAUUAUUUUGAAUUGAAUUAGUUUUAUUUUUCUUAAUUUUUUGAUAUAUUAUUUGUAUUUUUAGAAUUUUGAAUUGAAUUAGUUUUAUUUUUCUGAAUUUUUUGAUAUAAUAUUUGUGUUUUUAACAUAUUGAAUUGAAUUAGUUCUAUUUUUCUGAAUUUUUUGAUAUAUUAUUUGUAUUUUUAACAUAUUGAAUUGAAUUAGUUUUAUUUUUCUUAUUUUUUUGAUAUAUUAUUUGNNNNNNNNNNNNNNNNNNNNNNNNNNNNNNNNNNNNNNNNNNNNNNNNNNNNNNNNNNNNNNNNNNNNNNNNNNNNNNNNNNNNNNNNNNNNNNNNNNNNNNNNNNNNNNNNNNNNNNNNNNNNNNNNNNNNNNNNNNNNNNNNNNNNNNNNNNNNNNNNNNNNNNNNNNNNNNNNNNNNNNNNNNNNNNNNNNNNNNNNNNNNNNNNNNNNNNNNNNNNNNNNNNNNNNNNNNNNNNNNNNNNNNNNNNNNNNNNNNNNNNNNNNNNNNNNNNNNNNNNNNNNNNNNNNNNNNNNNNNNNNNNNNNNNNNNNNNNNNNNNNNNNNNNNNNNNNNNNNNNNNNNNNNNNNNNNNNNNNNNNNNNNNNNNNNNNNNNNNNNNNNNNNNNNNNNNNNNNNNNNNNNNNNNNNNNNNNNNNNNNNNNNNNNNNNNNNNNNNNNNNNNNNNNNNNNNNNNNNNNNNNNNNNNNNNNNNNNNNNNNNNNNNNNNNNNNNNNNNNNNNNNNNNNNNNNNNNNNNNNNNNNNNNNNNNNNNNNNNNNNNNNNNNNNNNNNNNNNNNNNNNNNNNNNNNNNNNNNNNNNNNNNNNNNNNNNNNNNNNNNNNNNNNNNNNNNNNNNNNNNNNNNNNNNNNNNNNNNNNNNNNNNNNNNNNNNNNNNNNNNNNNNNNNNNNNNNNNNNNNNNNNNNNNNNNNNNNNNNNNNNNNNNNNNNNNNNNNNNNNNNNNNNNNNNNNNNNNNNNNNNNNNNNNNNNNNNNNNNNNNNNNNNNNNNNNNNNNNNNNNNNNNNNNNNNNNNNNNNNNNNNNNNNNNNNNNNNNNNNNNNNNNNNNNNNNNNNNNNNNNNNNNNNNNNNNNNNNNNNNNNNNNNNNNNNNNNNNNNNNNNNNNNNNNNNNNNNNNNNNNNNNNNNNNNNNNNNNNNNNNNNNNNNNNNNNNNNNNNNNNNNNNNNNNNNNNNNNNNNNNNNNNNNNNNNNNNNNNNNNNNNNNNNNNNNNNNNNNNNNNNNNNNNNNNNNNNNNNNNNNNNNNNNNNNNNNNNNNNNNNNNNNNNNNNNNNNNNNNNNNNNNNNNNNNNNNNNNNNNNNNNNNNNNNNNNNNNNNNNNNNNNNNNNNNNNNNNNNNNNNNNNNNNNNNNNNNNNNNNNNNNNNNNNNNNNNNNNNNNNNNNNNNNNNNNNNNNNNNNNNNNNNCGGCCAGCCUCGCUGCCGCGCGCGCACGCGCGCGCCUCUCUACAGAGAGCGAGAUCAUGGAGAGAGAGAGAGAAUUUUUUCUUUUUUUUUCUUUUUUUUUGUUCUUUUUAAUUUUAACUAGUUAAUUAGUUUAACAAAAAUGGUAAAAUAACUUAAAACUUGAUAAUUAACAAAAAAACUGUAAAAUUUGAUAAUUAACAAAAAAAACGUAUAUACGGAGAGGGGGCGGCGAGGGGGGCGGCGAUGCGCGCGGUAUUUUUUUUAGGGAUCGAGAGGGGGCGGCGAGGGUUAUACAUGUGUGUUGUCCUCGCCUCCCUCUCCGUGACGCCGUCGUCUGCCGCCCCGUCUCGCGCUCUACCGCGACACCCUCUCCCACCCCUUCCUCGCCCCCUCCUUUUGCCACCGCCCUUUCGCCACCGCCACCGCCACCGCCCCCCUUCUUCACUUAAUUAAUUUGUUUUUACUACAUGUUUUCAGGACUGACAUAAUGGCGGACGAUAGAGCUGACCCGAUGGACAACUAUGAUCCGGACGGUGAAGCACAUAUGUUCGGCAUCAUAAACGGCGAUAUUCUAUAUGUGCCGACCGGACAAGAAGAAGAUGAUAUCUCUUCUUAUCUGAACCUUGACGGUGAAGAUGAAGGGCGCCGUCAGCAAGAUGAUGCCGAACAAACGUCGAUAAACGACGAUCUUCAAAUGGAAGUAGCAACCACCUCCGGCGCCGAGGUAUAUAUAUACAUUGAGCCUCUGGUGAUACAAACUAACUGAUUUGAAUAAAUAUGUGUGUACUAACGCGCGCGACUCUCUUUCUUAUUUUAGCCCUCGGCCGGAUCGUCGAAACAAUCGAGUACGUCGUCAAAGCGUGGCGCAACCAAGACGAUGAAACAAGGAGAAACAUGCACCAUCGAGGUUGUCGACAGUGCAACCGGCAGACCGCUGGAGCCCCGCAAGAACGCCACCAAGUUUGUCAACCAAUGCGGAGCCAUUGUUAGAGACAACGUCUCGAUCACCGUCCAGGAGUGGAAUAAGCCAAAGAAGGCACGAAUUGCUGGUUUCACUUUUGUCGAUAAGAGAACAAAAAAAGAUUGCUUCAAGAAGCUUAUGGAACAUUUCGUUCUACCUCCAGAAUACAACAAAUUCGAUGAGAAGGGUAACAAGAUUGAGGAAAACAAGGAGAGGAGGAGGCUAGUCAAACAGUUCGCUCUUCAUAAGAUGGCCGACGCAUUCCGGAAAUUCAAGCAAAAUCUAGCCCAUGACUUUGUCAAGCAGAACAAGACUCCGGAUUUCAAAGGACAAUAUGAGAAACUGAAACAUGAUUGGCCAGAAUUUGUGAAGCAAAAGAAAUCGGAGCAGUUCAUUCAAAUAUCGAAAAAAAUAAGGAAAAUGCGGCUAAGGAGUACAAUCAUAUUAUGAGGCCAGGAGGGUAUCGCCUUUGGGAGCCUAGGUGGGAGAAGAUGGAGAACGAGCUGAGGGCGCGAGGAAUCCGUCCAGGUACGGAGGGAUGGGACCCAAGGGCCAAAAGCUGGUGGUACGGGCAUGGGGGAACGCUGAACCCGAAGACAGGGGAGUGUGUUUACCGGGGCAAAAUAAUUAAACCCACCCAAGCCCUUAUUGACGCAAUGAGGGAUGCUCAAGAGGGGAAGAUCAAGUUCAACAGAGAGAACGACGCGCUGACAAAAGCCCUCGGGAAUCCUGAACACGGAGGAUGUGUACGAGGCAUGGGGCACAUUCCGUGGAAAAUAGGGUUCCCCCAGAACGAUGACCCGUACGGUUACAGAAGCCGGAAGAGAAAGAUGGAUCGGGAAGCAGAUGUUGUGGCGCGGUUGGCAUCGGAAAUGGAUGUGAUGAAGAAAACCGUGAGUGUACUAGUAGCCGAAAGAGAUGCAGCUCGGGCGCAGCAUGAAGAUCAUCCAGCGGAUCUCAGAAGCCAGCAGCGGAGAAGCAGUGUGGCUUCCACGGAGGCCCCAUCGGCUGGUGCAGAUGCACCUACGAUCGAAAUUACUGCACCGGAGCCUCUGGUGGUCGAAAUUACUGCACCGGAGCCUCUGGUGGUCGAAAUUACUGCACCAGAGCCUCCUCGCUACCCCGUGGACGAUAUAAAGGAGAUGAAAGAAUGUCAUCUGUAUUAUCCUAUCGGGAACAUGUCCAUGAAGGUAGCCAUCGGCAGUGCUUUACCAUGUUUACCUGGAGCACUCCACCACAACAACCCCAUUCAAGAUGGCUAUGCUCGUGUCACGGUGGAGGACAUAGUCCAAGGGUUUGAGGACCUGGAGAUUGACAUUGACCUGAAGGGGAGAAAAGACUUGGAGAUGUCAAGCGCCAUUUCAUUCUAUGGCAAAAGAAGUUUAUCAAGUUUCCAGGCGAGGCGCCAAGGACAACAAGUCCACCCCCCUACGGUGGUGGUGGUGGAGGCGGUUCACCUACACCUCCGUCACGUCAGCCGACGCCCCCCAGUCCACAACGUCCGGCGGGUGAUCAGACGCCGCCCCCCAGUCCUCGUCCGGUGGGUGAUCAGACGCCGCCCCCCAAUCCACCUCCGGCAAAGAAGCAGAAGCAGCCCUGGAUUAUUAACCCGGACCCUUAUGUACCUAAGACCACAAAGGUACCGGAGCCAUCACUGAAGCCUCUCCCCACAAGGCCUUGGGAACGUAGUGCCGAGGAAACUGCCGCGGCCGCGGCUGCUGAUCAUGAGAAAUGGAAGGCGGACUGCAAGAAGAAAAGAGAGCCCGAGCCCAAGCCAGUAUUUUCUGAUUAGCAAAAGAAGUGGGCGAAGUCAUUUUUGAGCACACCGUCCCAAGCCGCGAAGAAUCUGCCUGACGACUAUGCACGUGAACUUCGUAGGCAGGCACUCAUGUUGAAGGAGAAGAAAGAGCGGGCGGAGAACCAGGAGAACAAAGCCUUGGAGGAGGCCGAGAAAACGGAAUUAGAAAGUAAAAAAAGCGGGAAACGAGUUGCCCAGCUCGGGGAACAAAGUAAACAAUCGAUUGCCCCGCUUAUAGUGAAAGCCGCCGGUCCGGAUGACCCCGAUAUCAUAGCAGCUGCGGCAGCACAUGGAUUGACUGUAACGAGUGACAGAGAACAAGCGGCCAACUUAGGUAUUACUCUUCGUGAACUGUUAGGCCUUGAUGAGGCGCCAGUGAAGGAGGUAGUAAUUACAUAUGUGAAGAAUGGGCCUCUUGUCGAGCCUGCGCAGGAAGAGGAUCUACCUCCACAAAUGAAAGGUCUGCUGAAAUGGUACAAGGGUUACAUAAAAAAUAAAAACGCCAAAGAAUAUAUUUAUGCGGAAGUUAGAUAUGAGCAUCACUUCAAACAUUACUAUGUACAAAUUCAUCUGAGUGAAUUGUUCCAGCUUUUCAAUCUGCGCGAGCUCGACAAAUCUAUCAUCAGUUGCUAUGUUCUGUAAGUGAUUUAUUUCUACCCCAUCUCGUUCAUAUUGCCUGCACUAUAUAUAUGUCCUAACUAUAUUGUUGUGUCCGCUAUUAUACAUGCAGAAUGAAGAUUAAGGAAUGCAGAGUAAGGAACAUCCAUGAUGUUGGGUUCAUUGACCCACACAUCGUUAAUGGAUAUGUGUUGGAGCAUCACCCCGCCGACAUGGAGGCAGACCUGUGGCAGUUUCUUACAAAGCAGGAACUCAAAAGUGAUAUUCUAUUUCCUUACCAUUUUGGGUGAGUGUUUCUGUCUUGAGCACAUUCUUUUUUGUUUACUCCAUGCAUGGUAUGUGGCCGGCUAAUCGAUGAGUUAUGCAUGACGUACUGUGCAUGUAUCGUGUCCGCAGGUUCCACUGGAUUCUGCUAGUAAUUAAAGUUGACACGUCAGAAUGUCUCGUCCACGACUCUCUAAAUAAGGAUCCAAAGCUUUGGGCGGCAUGAGAAGAAUGCUGCAGAAGUAAUUAUUUUCAUUCAUUUGCGCUCUAUAUCGAUCGGCCUAUUUCGUUCAUUUCCUAAUAUCAAGUAACUAAAAACUCUCUUGUUCAUUUAAUUUUCUUUGCCUCGUAGGGUUUGGAGACGGUUCGUAGAUACAAAGGUCGGUGAAUUCAAAAAAGAGCUAGAAUUCAAAAGGUCAAAGGCUAAGAAUGGUGAGGAUAUUCAGCCAGCGGGGACCAAUUUAUGUGCAUACUAUGUCUGUGAGAUGAUCCGGAGAUACACCUCUGAGCGGCGGGUUCCGAGUGAUACCAAUGCUCAGAGGAAUAACCUCCGGAUGAUGCUUAGUCCAGAAGCUCGCUUCCGACCACUUCAAGAGGAACUAGCUGGAUGGUUCAGGAGGGAAGUCCUCCAUCCUAAAGGAGAACACCAUUACGAGGACGUAGAACUUUAUAUGCAUUAAAUUAUGUAUGGAAACUUGUUCAAAAUUGUAUAUGGUCAUCCGAUGAUAUUGAAUAUAUAUUGUAUAUUCUUCUUGAAUUCUUUUUGGUUCUAAUUUCAAAUUUGUUUGAAAUUGUACAUUCAUAUGCAUGUAUGUAGUACCGUAGAAUAUGUGAAACUCCUUCAAAAUUAAAAUAAAGCACAAAAGAAAUAAAACAAUACAAAUUAAAUAGAAAACAGGUUUAGGGGGGGGCUAAAACCCUAAACCUGCGGCGGCCUUUAGUCACGGUUGGCCAGAAGAACCGCGACUAAAGGUCCUCCGCCCCGACGGCCGCCUGGCGCCCACGUGGACGGGCCUUUAGUCGCGGUUCUUAAGCAACCGCGACUAAAAGGGGGGGGGGCCUUUAGUCGCGCCUGUUUGGUCGCGGUUGCGCAACCGCGACUAAUGGCAGUUGCGAACCGCGACCAAAGGCCUUUUUUCCACCAGUGGCCAACUGCUCAGCUAGCAAGCAAGUCUGAACCUGGACGCAUAUACAUGGACGGUCACUCUUAUGAUGAUGUUGCUGUCCUGCUACCUAAUCCCGCCCGUCCACGGACACCACCAACACCAAAACGGUACUGACAAAACGAGGCGCAAAAUUGUUUAGAAAUGUACGAUGGCUCAUGGCUCUCCCUAUAAAUACACCAUGGUGUAACACGCCACUUACCUACCUAGCUAGCUAUCAUCUUCCGUCGGUGCUCGAUCACGAGCUAGCUCCCAAGAUGAGCAAGUCGUCGUGGCCGGAGCUAGUGGGCGUCCUGGCGACGCUGGCGGCGACGCAGAUCGCGCACGACCGGCCCGACGUCGCCGUCGAGGUGCUCCCGCCCGGUGCGCCGCUGAUGCCCGACUACAACGCCCAGCGCGUCCGCGUCUUCAUCAAUCUCGGCGGCGUCGUCUCCAAGACCCCCGUCAUCGGCUAGCCUCCCGCCCCGCGAAUGGCACGCCGUCCCUGUCCCGGCACGGCACCAGCGCUAGCUGCUGUGACUACAGUACUACGGUAUAACGGAAGAAUAAAGUGACGUCAUGUGUUUGUGCUACGUGAUUUCUGUGAAAACUCGCUAAACUAUUCGUGGGUUGUUACGGAGUAACAAAUUGUUCAUGUGUACCAGAACGUGAGUUACGAGGGCUCCUUCCGAAAACCUAGCCGCCGCCAACAUCUCCGUCUCCAUCAUAGACGCCAGGGUUGGAGGGAUGGGGAACCCGAUCUAUGUAUGAAGUUCUUAAUAAAGUAGUGUUUGGGUUAGGGUUUUGGUGGCCGUCUUCUUCGUCUUUGAAGAUGGCAUCGGCUACGGCCCUUCGAUCGACGACUAGAUCUCCUUCUAGGCGUCAAUGCUGGUGUUGGAAGAUUAAAUUUGUCUAGGUAUGAUCCUUCAGAUCUUACUUCGAUAUAUUGAUUUUGGAUAAUUUCUCAUCGUCGCCGCGACGGCUACUAUGUCGUCGACAAUGGUGAUUCAUACUUUUGGCUCCUAGUGACGUCGACCUAGCUGUUUGAUUGUUUUUUUCUAGAAUACCGGUGUUGAUACGCUUGCCGAUGUUGGUCGAUUGCUGUAAUGGUUGCAUGCGUGCAUCGUAGCCUUUGGCAUCGCGGCUCAAAUUAAAAUUAUGGAAGAAUCCUCGUUGGUAUGUACAGGUCUAUGGUUUGAUAUCUUUGUUAUUUUCCUAUGGCUACCUUCAGGAAAGCACAGGAUUGUGUCAUGGAAGAAGAAAGAGUUUAAAAAUCUCGAAGAAUGGCUCGUUUCUUUUAGACUUUAUAUUGUAAUCACGGGAGUCAGCUCUUGUAUCUCUAUGAUGUACUAUUUAUUCGCUACUAUAAAUAUUUCAUGGUACUUAUUGGGAAAAAAGCAAAUUAUUCAUGUGUUACCAUAAAAUAAUAGAUUAGUUUGUUAUGUGACCAAACAUGUGCCUCAUGUGAAAACAAACAACCUACUAGGGUUCCACCUACAACCACCGCUGCCAUCACUGAUAAUUCUUGACUUCGGGUGCCUUCCGGCGCCACCAAAAUGGGGGGGAGGGGGGGGAGACUCUGGUUUGGGUUGCCUCUAUAUUCUUUGGUUGCCCAGUUAGGGUUUAUAUUGAAGUGUUUGGUUGCAGUGUUGAGAAGAUGUUGUUUGUCGUGGGCGGAGGGCAGGUGAAGAUGUUGAGCGACAAACGACACCCAAUACCUCACCCUAACAAACAACAAUAAGGUUCGCUCAUUGCUUCAGUUUCUUCUUCUUUUUUGUUUUUUUCCUUUGUGUGUAUUUUAGUUUUUUUACCGGAUUUCUUUGGUUUUUCUUUUUUCCUCAUUUUACUUGCUAUUCUUUAUUAUCUCUUGUUUUAAUAUUUUUUGGUAUACUUUGCUUUUAUUUGUUCUUUCUUGGCUUCCUUCAUCAUCUUUUUUGUUUUGAUUUUCUUUUUAUUUCUUUGCCAGUGUGUACCGGUUUUCUUUCCUUUGAACACAUAUCUACUUUCUCCGCAGUACAGAAUGUACUUUUUUAUAGCACACACGAUUUUUUUAUACAUCUGGACCUUUUCAAAUACAUGAUGUAUAUUUUUUAAAAAUUAUGUUUUGAAAAUAAUAAUUUAAUAAAUGGUAACAUUUCUUUCCAAAUACAUGGUAUGCAUUUUUUAAUGGCAAUAGCCAUUUUCUAAGCUACAUGGACAUUUUUUUAAUUGCAUAAAUGUUUGUAAAAAAUUCACAGAUAUUUUUUGGAAACACGUGAAUAUUUUCUCAAAAUGUCACAAUACUUUUGAAAGUUAUAUCAUCAUUUUUUUAAACUGUGUAAAAAAAAUUAUACUAUGUUAAGAUUUUUUUUCAAGCUCGUGAUUUUAAAUUCGAUAAAUAAAUUUAGGUUUUCAGAAUAUAUGCAUUUAAUUUUGAAUUUAUUUAGGGGAUGCAUGAAAUGUAAAUAAAGUAAAAAUGAGGAGAAGAAAAUAAUUUCGGGUGACGUCAGGAAGAGGAGGCACGUCGUACUGGGCCAUGCACGCAACUGCUCAUCAUCAAGCCCAAUCAUAUUGAACUGAGACCGACAGUAAAAAAUUACAUAAUAAAACCUAACAGAGCCAGUUUCGAUCCUGGGACCUGUGGGUUAUGGGCCCACCACGCUUCCGCAGCGCCACUCUGAUUUGCUUGUUGACAUUGCGAUGCUACGCUACAUAUAACAGAUGAUCAGUCAGCAAGAAUAAUCUAUCAUGUUUCUUAUAAUCUGAUAAUCCACCCCAUGUGUACCCCCUGCUUUGACUCCCAUUAACAAGCUAACCUGAAGGAAUUUUUAGAAAUUACAGUGGAAUUUAGAAAAAAGAAACCCAGGUUUGUCCUUGAAAGGCAAUGGAGAAUGUGGCAAGUCGGAAAUAUAUAACAAUGAAAAACUUUUGAAUACAAUGCCUUUGCUAGAAUAUAUCUCGGGCUAACAUGCAUCAUUAGAAUUUCUAUAAAUACUAGUACAAUGCCCGUGCGUUGCCACGGACCUUUUAAAUUUUGUGUUGUGACAUUUAUAAAGAUAAUACAUGUCAAAUUUCGCAUGUAUAAAAUAACAAAUUAUCUAAUUUUAAGUCGUCUAUUUUUAAAUUCGCUUCAGGCUAUUUUUUGUGACCAUCGGAUCUGCACAAAUCGUAGUGUUAUUUGGUUUAGAGAAAAAUCUAAAGCAAAACCUUUAACUCGUAGAGCCAGUUUGAAUUAAAUCCUGAACUUUCAAUCCUAAAAUUAGCACUCCGUACUUAUCGAUCCCGGUCAAUCCCGACCUUCUCCCGAUCUAGACCAAUCUAGUGGGAUCAUAACUUCUCUCAGUGACUAAGCUAGUCCACUUGUCACACACAUUUUCUCCCCACUUGAAGAGCACAAACAUGUAUGGCAUGCAUAUCCACAAUGUCAAGCAUGCUAAUCUCUUCCUCCACCAUGCAAAUGGAGAGGCAACCACUUCUAAGUAACACAAUUAUUAUCUGCGACAAGUUAACAGUGUUGCCCGUGUAUUCUUGGGUUUGCAUGGUCAUGCGUUAGAGAGUGAGGAAGAACAUGUAGAUGACACGUGAGCAUCUCGUUCGGGAUUGACCUUUUUCCCGGCGUGACAAACAGGGCUAAAGACAGAUUCACCAGGAUUGACAAGUACAGGGUGCUAAUUUCAAAGAUUGAGAAUUCAGGGUUUGAUUCAGAUUGGCUCUAUGAAGUCAAGGAUGUUUUCAGAGUUUUCUCUUUCACUCGCUCCAUCUGUCCCCCUCUGUGGCGCGUGUCAGGUCUUGAUUGUUUUUCUUUUCGGGCUAAGAGCAUCUCUAGCGUAAACCAGUCCAUCUAACAAAAUAAUGUCGGUUAACGGGAUGGAGGCAGGUUUUGCCCUGAAGAGAUCGCGUAUAUUCAACCAUCCCGGAUUCUUUUUUGCGGGAUCCUGCAUAUUUUAGGACCGUUUCCGCUAUAUCUAUGGGAAUGGGGGCAAUUUUUACUGGACCUGAAAAAUAAGAAACAGUUGGCAGGAGGGAAUUUUCAGCUCGCGCCACAGUCUUCCCCGAGCGCGACCUCGCCUCAAAGCCUCAACAUCAGCGACCACCGCACCCUAGUUGCAGCUCUGCGAGCUAGCUGCCGCCGCCGCCUCUAGCUAGCUAGGUGUGUUGGGGAACGUAGCAGAAAUUCAAAAUUUUCCUACGCGUAUCACCAAGAUCUAUCUAUGGAGAGACCAGCAACGAGUAGAAAGGGAGAGGAGAGUGCAUCUACAUACCCUUGUAGAUCGCUAAGCGGAAGCGUUCAAGUGAACGGGGUUGAUGGAGUCGUACUCGUCGUGAUUCAAAUCACCGAUGAUCAAGUGUCGAACGGACGGCACCUCCGCGUUCAACACACGUACAGCCCGGUGACGUCUCCCACGCCUUGAUCCAGCAAGGAGAGAGGGAGAGGUUGAGGAAGACUCCAUCCAGCAGCAGCACAACGGCGUGGUGGUGAUGGAGGAGCGUGGCAAUCCUGCAGGGCUUCACCGAGCACCUACGGGAGAGGAGAUGUGUCACGGGAGGGAGAGGGAGGCAACCAAAGGCCUUAGGUAUGAUUGCUCCUCCUUUUCCCCACUAUAUAUAGGGCCAAGGGAGAGGGGGGAGGCGCAGCCUUGCCCCCUCCUCCAAGGAAGGGGUGCGGCUAAGGAUGGGGAGGAGUCCAUCCUCCCCAAGGCACCUCGGAGGUGCCUUCCCCUUUUAGGACUCUUCCCUUUUUCCUUUAUCUUGGCGCAUGGGCCUCUAGGGGCUGGUGCCCUUGGCCCAUGUAGGCCAAGGCGCACCCCCUACAGCCCAUGUGGCCCCCCGGGGCAGGUGGCCCCACCCGGUGGGCCCCCGGGACCCUUCCGGUGGUUCCGGUACAAUACCGAUAACCCCGAAACUUGUCCCGAUGGCCGAAACAGGACUUCCUAUAUAUAAAUCUUUACCUCCGGACCAUUCCGGAACUCCUCGUGACGUCCGGGAUCUCAUCCGGGACUCCGAACAACAUUCGGUAACCACAUACAAGCUUCCUUUAUAACCCUAGCGUCAUCGAACCUUAAGUGUGUAGACCCUACGGGUUCGGGAGACAUGCAGACAUGACCGAGAUGUUCUCCGGUCAAUAACCAACAGCGGGAUCUGGAUACCCAUGAUGGCUCCCACAUGUUCCACGAUGAUCUCAUCGGAUGAAACACGAUGUCAAGGACUUAAUCAAUCCCGUAUUCAAUUCCCUUUGUCUAGCGGUAUUUUACUUGCCCGAGAUUUGAUCGUCGGUAUCCAAUACCUUGUUCAAUCUCGUUUCCGGCAAGUCACUUUACUCGUUCCGUAACACAUCAUCCCGUGAUCAACUCCUUGGUCACAUUGCGCAUAUGAUGAUGUCCUACCGAGUGGGCCCAGAGAUACCUCUCCGUUUACACGGAGUGACAAAUCCCAGUCUCGAUCCGCAUAAAACAAUAGAUACUUUCGGAGAUACCUGUAGUGCACCUUUAUAGUCACCCAGUUACGUUGUGACGUUUGAUACACCCAAAGCACUCCUACGGUAUCCAGGAGUUACACGAUCUCAUGGUCAAAGGAAGAGAUACUUGACAUUGGCAAAGCUCUAGCAAACGAACUACACGAUCUUUGUGCUAUGCUUAGGAUUGGGUCUUGUCCAUCACAUCAUUCUCCUAAUGAUGUGAUCCCGUUAUCAACGACAUCCAAUGUCCAUAGCCAGGAAACCGUGACCAUCUAUUGAUCAACGAGCUAGUCAACUAGAGGCUUACUAGGGACAUAUUGUGGUCUAUGUAUUCACACGUGUAUUACGAUUUCCGGAUAAUACAGUUAUAGCAUGAAUAAAAGACAAUUAUCAUGAACAAGGAAAUAUAAUAAUAAUACUUUUAUUAUUGCCUCUAGGGCAUAUUUCCAACAGUCUCCCACUUGCACUAGAGUCAAUAAUCUAGUUCACAUCGCCAUGUGAUUAACACUCAUAGGUCACAUCGCCAUGUGACUAAUACCCAAGAGUUUACUAGAGUCAGUAGUCUAGUUCACAUCACUAUGUGAUUAACACUCAAUGAGUUUUAUGUUUGAUCAUGUUGCUUGUGAGAGAGGUUUUAGUCAACAGGUCUGAACCUUUCAGAUCCGUGUGUGCUUUACAAAUCUCUAUGUCAUCUCCUAGAUGCAGCUACCACGCUCUAUUUGGAGCUAUUCCAAACAACUGUUCUACUUGGAGCUAUUCUAAAUUAUUGCUCCAUUAUAUGUAUCCGGUCUCUCUACUCAGAGCUAUCCGGAUAGGUGUCAAGCUUGCAUCGACGUAACCUUUACGACGAACUCUUUUACCACCUCCAUAAUCGAGAAAAUUCCUUAGUCCACUAGUUACUAAGGAUAACUUUGACCGCUGUCCUGUGAGCCAUUCUUGGAUCACUCUUGUACCCCUUGACUGACUCAUGGCAAGGCACACUUCAGGUGCGGUACACAGCAUAGCAUACUGAAGAGCCUACGUCUUAAGCAUAGGGGACGACCUUCGUCCUUUCUCUCUAUUCUGCCGUGGUCGAGCUUUAAGUCUUAACUUCGUACCUUACAACUCAGGCAAGAACUCCUUCUUUGACUGGUCCAUCUUGAACACCUUCAAGAUCAUGUUAAGGUAUGUGCUCAUUUGAAAGUAUUAUUAAGCAUUUGGAUCUAUCCUUAUAGAUCUUGAUGCUCAAUGUUCAAGUAGCUUAAUCCAGGCUUUCCAUUGAAAAACACUUUCAAAAUAACCCUAUAUGCUUUCCAGAAAUUCUACGUCAUUUCUGAUCAUCAAUAUGUCAACAACAUAUAUUCAUCAGAAAUUCUAUAGUGCUCCCACUCACUUCUUUGGAAAUACAAGUUUCUCAUAAACUUUGUACAAACCCAAAAUCUUUGAUCAUCUCAUCAAAGCGUUCAUUCCAACUCCGAGAUACUUACUCCAGUCCUUAAAAGGAUCGCUGGAGCUAGCAUACCUUUUAGCAUCCUUAGGAUCGACAAAAACUUUUCUGAUUGUAUUGCAUACAACCUUUCCUUAUGAAAACUAGUAAGGAAACUUGUCUUGACAUCCAUCUGCCAGAUUUCAUAAAUGCAGCUAAUGCUAACAUGAAUUCGACGGACUUUAAGCAUCGCUACGAAUGAGAAAAUCUCAUCGUAGUCAACUCCUUGAACUUGUGGAAAAACUUUUCGCCACAAGUCGAGCUUCAUGGACGGUGACAUUACCAUCCACGUCCGUCUUCUUCUUAAAGAUCCAUUUAUCUUAAUGGCUUGCCGAUCAUCGGGCAAGUCCACCAAAGUCCAUGGAUCCGUUCUCGGAUUUUAUGGCCUCGAGCCAUUUAUCGGAAUCCGGGCUCACCAUUGCUUCUCCAUAGCUCGUAGGUUCAUUGUUGUCUAGCAACAUGACUUCCAAGACAGGAUCACCGUACCACUCCAAAGUAGUACAUGUCCUUGUCGUCCUACGAGGUUUGGUAGUGACUUGAUCCGAAGUUUCAUGAUCAAUAUCAUAAGCUUCCACUUCAAUUGGUGUAGGUGCCACAGGAACAACUUCCUGUGCCCUGCCACACACUAGUUGAAGAGACGGUUCAAUAACCUCAUCAAGUCUCCACCAUCCUCCCACUCAACUCUUUCGAGAGAAAUUUUUCCUCGAGAAAGGACCCGAUUCAAGAAACAAUCCAUAUUGCUUUCGGAUCUGAAUUAGGAGGUAUACCCAACUGUUUUGGUUUUCCUAUGAAGAUGCAUUUUAUCCGCUUUGGGUUCGAGCUUAUCAACCUGAAACUUUUUCAUAUAAGCGUCGCAGCCCCAAACUUUUAAGAAACGACAACUUAGGUUUCUCUAAACCAUAAUUCAUACGGUGUCAUCUCAACGGAAUUACGUGGUGCCCUAUUUAAAGUGAAUGUGGUUGUCUCUAAUGCCUAACCCAUGAACGAUAGUGGUAAUUCGAUAAGAGACAUCAUGGUACGCACCAUAUCCAAUAGGGUGCAACUAUGAUGUUCGGACACACCAUCACACUAUGGUGUUCCAGGCGGUAUUAAUUAUGAAACAAUUUCCACAAUGUCUUAAUUGUGUGCCAAAACUCGUAACUCAGAUAUUCAUCUCUAUGAUCAUAUCAUAGACAUUUUAUCCUCUUGUCACAAUGAUCUUCUACUUCACUCUGAAAUUACUUGAACCAUUCAAUAAUUCAGACUUGUGUUUCAUCAAGUAAAUAUUCUCAACAUCUACUCGAAUCAUCUAUGAAGUAAGAACAUAACGAUAUUCACUGCAUGCCUCAGCACUCAUUGGACUGCACACAUCAAAAUGUGUUACUUCCAACAAGUUGCUAUCUUGUUCCAUCUUACUGAAAAUGAGGCUUUUCAGUCAUCUUGCCCAUGUGGUAUGAUUUGCAUAUCUCAAGUGAUUCAAAAUCAAGUGAGUCCGAACGAUCCAUUUGCAUGGAGUUUCUUCAUGCAUAUACACCAAUAGACAUGGUUCGCAUGUCUCAAACUUUUCAAAAACGAGUGAGUCCAAAGAUCCAUCAACAUGGAGCUUCUUCAUACGUUUUAUACCAUUAUGACUUACAUGGCAGUGCCACAAGUAAGUGGUACUAUCAUUACUAUCUUAUAUCUUUUGGCAUGAAAAUGUGUAUCACUACGACCGAGAUUCAAUAAACCAUUCCUUUAGGUGCAAGACCAUUGAAGGUAUUAUUCAAAUAAAUAGAGUAACCAUUAUUCUCUUUAAAUGAAUAACCGUACUGCGAUAGACAUAAUCCAAUCAUGUCUAUGCUCAACACCAAAUCUCGAUGGUAGAGGGAGCGUGCGAUGCUUGAUCAUAUCAACAUUGGAAACACUUCCAACACAUGUCGUCAGCUCACCUUUAGCUAGUCUCCGUUUAUUCCGUAGCUUUUAUUUCGAGUUACUAACACUUAGCAACCGAACCGGUAUCUAAUACCCUGGUGCUACUAGGAGUACUAGUAAAGUACACAUUAACACAAUGUAUAUCCAAUAUACUUCUAUCGACCUUGCCAGCCUUCUCAUCUACCAAGUAUCUAGGGUAAUCUUGCUCCAGUGGUUGUUCCCCUUAUUACAGAAGCACUUAGUCUCGGGUUUGGGUUUAACCUCGGGUUUCUUCAUUCGAGCAGCAGCUGAAUUGCCGUUUCAUGAAGUAUCCCUUUGUUCCCUUGCCCUUCUUGAAACUAGUGGUUUCACCAACCAUCAACAAUUGAUGCUCCUUCUUGAUUUCUACUUUCGCGGUGUCAAACAUCAUGAAUAUUUCAAGGAUCAUCAUAUAUGUCCUUGAUAUAUUAUAGUUCAUCACGAAGCUCUAGCAGCUUGGUGGUAAUGACUUCGGGGGAACUAUCACUAUUUCAUCUGGAAGAUCAACUCCCACUUGAUUCAAGUGAUUGUUGCACUCAGACAAUCUGAGCACAAGCUCAACAAUUGAGCUUCUCUCCUUAGUUUGCAGGCUAAGAAAAUCGUCGGAGGUCUUAUACCUCUUGACGUGGGCACGAGCCUGAAAUCCCAAUUUCAGCCCUCGAAACAUCUCAUAUGUUCCGUGACGUUUCGAAAACGUCUUUGGUGCCUCUACUUAAACCAUUUAACUGAACUAUCACGUAGUUAUCAAAACGUGUAUGUUCGAUGUUCACAACAUCCACAGACGAGGUUUGGGGUUCAGCACACUGAGCGGUGCAUUAAGGACAUAAGCUUUCUACUGAUCGCAUAAUCGCUACUAUCAACUUUCAACUAUAUUUUCUCUAGGAACAUAACUAAAACAGUAGAACUAUAGCGUGAACUACGACAUAAUUUGCAAAAAGGUCUUUUGACUAUGUUCAGGAUAAUUAAGUUCAUCUUAUGAACUCCCACUCAGAUAGACAUCCCUCUGGUCAUCUAAGUGAUUACAUGAUCCGAGUCAAACUAGACCGUGUCCGAUCAUCACGUGAGACGGACUAGUCAACGUCGGUGAACAUCUUCAUGUUGAUCGUAUCUACUAUACGACUCAUGCUCGACCUUUCGGUCUCCGUGUUCCGAGGCCAUGUCUGUACAUGCUAGGCUCGUCAAGUUAACCCUAAGUGUUUUUGCUGUGUAAAACUGUCUUACACCCGUUGUAUGUGAACGUAAGGAUCUAUCACACCCGAUCAUCACGUGGUGCUUCGAAACGACGAACUGUAGCAACGGUGCACAGUUAGGGGAGAACACUUCUUGAAAUUUUAAUGAGGGAUCAUCUUAUUUACUACCGUCGUUCUAAGCAAAUAAGAUGCAUAAACAUAAUAAACAUCACAUGCAAUUAUAUAGUUGUGACAUGAUAUGGCCAAUAUCAUAUAGCUCCAUUGAUCUCCAUCUUCGGGGCUCCAUGAUCAUCUUGUCACCGGCAUGACACCAUGAUCUCCAUCAUCAUGAUCUCCAUCAUCAUGUCUUCAUGAAGUUGUCACGCCAACGACUACUUCUACUUCUAUGACUAACGCGUUUAGCAAUAAAGUAAAGUAGUUUACAUGGCGUUCUUCAAUGACACGCAGGUCAUACAAAAAAUAAAGACAACUCCUAUGGCUCCUGCCGGUUGUCAUACUCAUCGACAUGCAAGUCGUGAAUCCUAUUACAAGAACAUGAUCAAUCUCAUACAUCACAUAUAUCAUUCAUCACAUCCUUUGGCCAUAUCACAUCACAUAGCAUACCCUGCAAAAACAAGUUAGACGUCCUCUAAUUGUUGUUUGCAUGUUUUACGUGGCUGCUAUGGGUUUCUAGCAAGAACGUUUCUUACCUACGCAAAGACCACAACGUGAUAUGCCAAUUGCUAUUUACCCUUCAUAAGGACCCUUUUCAUCGAAUCCGAUCCGACUAAAGUAGGAGAGACAGACACCCGCUAGCCACCUUAUGCAUCUAGUGCAUGUCAGUCGGUGGAACCAGUCUCACGUAAGAGUACGUGUAAGGUCGGUCCGGGCCGCUUCAUCCCACAAUACCGUCGAAACAAGAUUGGACUAGUAACGGUAAGCAUAUUGAACAACAUCAACGCCCACAACUACUUUGUGUUCCACUCGUGCAAAGAAUCUACGCAAUAGACCUAGCUCAUGAUGCCACUGUUGGGGAACGUAGCAGAAAUUCAAAAUUUUCCUACGUGUCACCAAGAUCUAUCUAUGGAGAGACCAGCAACGAGUAGAAGGAGAGGAGAGUGCAUCUACAUACCCUUGUAGAUCGCUAAGCGGAAGCGUUCAAGUGAACGGGGUUGAUGGAGUCGUACUCGUCGUGAUUCAAAUCACCGAUGAUCAAGUGUCGAACGGACGGCACCUCCGCGUUCAACACACGUACAGCCCGGUGACGUCUCCCAUGCCUUGAUCCAGCAAGGAGAAAGGGAGAGGUUGAGGAAGACUCCAUCCAGCAGCAGCACAACGGCGUGGUGGUGAUGGAGGAGCGUGGCAAUCCUGCAGGGCUUCACCGAGCACCUACGGGAGAGGAGAUGUGUCACGGGAGGGAGAGGGAGGCAACCAAAGGCCUUAGGUAUGAUUGAUCCUCCUUUUCCCCACUAUAUAUAGGGCCAAGGGAGAGGGGGGAGGCGCAGCCUUGCCCCCUCCUCCAAGGAAGGGGUGCGGCUAAGGAUGGGGAGGAGUCCAUCCUCCCCAAGGCACCUCGGAGGUGCCUUCCCCUUUUAGGACUCUUCCCUUUUUCCUUUAUCUUGGCGCAUGGGCCUCUAGGGGCUGGUGCCCUUGGCCCAUGUAGGCCAAGGCGCACCCCCUACAGCCCAUGUGCCCCCCCGGGGCAGGUGGCCCCACCCGGUGGGCCCCCGGGACCCUUCCGGUGGUCCCGGUACAAUACCGAUAACCCCGAAACUUGUCCCGAUGGCCGAAAUAGGACUUCCUAUAUAUAAUCUUUACCUCCGGACCAUUCCGGAACUCCUCGUGACGUCCGGGAUCUCAUCCGGGACUCCGAACAACAUUCGGUAACCACAUACAAGCUUCCUUUAUAACCCUAGCGUCAUUGAACCUUAAGUGUGUAGACCCUACGGGUUCGGGAGACAUGCAGACAUGACCGAGAUGUUCUCCGGUCAAUAACCAACGGCGGGAUCUGGAUACCCAUGAUGGCUCCCACAUGUUCCACGAUGAUCUCAUCGGAUGAAACACGAUGUCAAGGACUUAAUCAAUCCCGUAUUCAAUUCCCUUUGUCUAGCGGUAUUUUACUUGCCCGAGAUUCGAUCGUCGGUAUCCAAUACCUUGUUCAAUCUUGUUUCCGGCAAGUCACUUUACUCGUUCCGUAACACAUCAUCCCGUGAUCAACUCCUUGGUCACAUUGCGCAUAUGAUGAUGUCCUACCGAGUGGGCCCAGAGAUACCUCUCCGUUUACACGGAGUGACAAAUCCCAGUCUCGAUCCGCAUAAAACAAUAGAUACUUUCGGAGAUACCUGUAGUGCACCUUUAUAGUCACCCAGUUACGUUGUGACGUUUGAUACACCCAAAGCACUCCUACGGUAUCCAGGAGUUACACGAUCUCAUGGUCAAAGGAAGAGAUACUUGACAUUGGCAAAGCUCUAGCAAACGAACUACACGAUCUUUGUGCUAUGCUUAGGAUUGGGUCUUGUCCAUCACAUCAUUCUCCUAAUGAUGUGAUCCCGUUAUCAACGACAUCCAAUGUCCAUAGCCAGGAAACCAUGACUAUCUGUUGAUCACAACGAGCUAGUCAACUAGAGGCUCACUAGGGACAUAUUGUGGUCUAUGUAUUCACACGUGUAUUACGAUUUCCGGAUAAUACAGUUAUAGCAUGAAUAAAAGACAAUUAUCAUGAACAAGGAAAUAUAAUAAUAAUACUUUUAUUAUUGCCUCUAGGGCAUAUUUCCAACAAGGUGCUGCCGCCGCCGCUAGCUAGCUAGGUGUUGCUGCCGCCGCCGCUAGCUAGCUAGGUGCUGCUGCUGCAGCCUGCGCUAGCUAGCUGUUGUUGCCGCCGCCACAAGAUCGAUGCAAAUGAUUUUUUCUUGUUGUGAGCUCCAGCAAUGGCUGUCUAUCCAUCCUGACGAGAUCCUCACGGUGGAAGCGGCCAAGGUGUACCCAAUUAUAAUUUAGCAUGCGUUUUAAGGGCGGUUGUGUAAUUUUGCCGGGACCCGGACCAUGAAAUAUUUUUACGAGAUCUGUUCUGCCUGAACAAAAGUACCGUAAAAAUGCGCAAGAAAGCGUUUUGCAAUGUCCUGUAAAUCGAUUUUUGCAGGACGCGGUAUACCGAAUCUGCUAGAGAUGCUCUAUGGAGUGGAGCAGGAGGUCGGUUUGUAUUGCUCCGCAGCCGGAUCCAGUUUUUUAGGAACGAUCCAUUUUCACCCACACAAUUUUUCGAACUGUUUUUUGAAAAAGAUAACAACUGAAUUUCUGAUUUUAACGACCUCGUCCCGAAAGCAUCUGUUACCGUUGGACCGUAAGCACCAAUCACAAGGAUUGCCACGUCAUCAGCAGGAGUAAUUCGUUCCAGAGACCGACCGAAUCCAACAACACGACCCAUCCCUUUCGAAAUCGGAUCCUCUAACAUCCUCAAGGGAUGUCACGUAAGGUACAGUAACCGUGACAUCCCUCCUUCACAUUCAUAUGAUUAAGCCUAAAAUGAUUAUAAUUAAUUUGUAAAUUACAAAUCUACUCUAUACAUUUACAAAAAUUACAUACAAACAAAAUUAUGGUGCAAUAAAAUGAUUUUUGAUUUAUUUUUGUAUAUGCUACAGUAAAUCCGCAUAGUGGUUGCUACAGUAAUCCUAACAUCCCUUCUUCGUUUUACACAUGCAUUUUACUGUAGCUUCGUGACAUCCCUUGAGGAUGUUAGAGGAUCCACUUCCAUCACUUCCUCUAUCCGUCACCCAUCGAAGCGGUCACACAUUUCCCACUCUCCCUCACUUUCUCUCUCCCGGCGAUCCCCAAUUUAGCUCGAUUCCGACUAAUACUCCGGCGAGCUGCAGCGGCCAGAUAAUGGAUCGCGACCAGAUCCGGGGAGCGAUGGGAGGGGGACCCGGUGGCGACGCUGUGGUGAGGGCGGGUGUUGAAGAACGCGUCAGGACCAUGGCGCUGAAUGCUGAUGAGCUCCCGGUCUUCCGGCGGAACCUCUCCCCUCUCUCGGUGUUGAAGACGGCGGCGAGAAGACCAGAAGCUCGUCAGUGCACAAUAGCAUCCAUCUCGCUGGUGGCCAUGACCUCCAUGUCCCUGUCGGACAGGUGGAGCAGGCAGCGGUUCACCUACUGCUUCAUUUGCUCGCGCUGGCCCUCUUUACCCACUGUUGCUAUCCAAAUAACAAUCGUGAGGGAAUAAGGAGUGCAGCAGAGGUUCGCACCGGCACGCCAUGCAGGAGGUGUAGCGGAGGUUCUGGGUGACCUGUUGGAGGGAGGAGUAGGGAGCGGACAAUGCGCCGGGAGAGGUAGCAGUGAACAACGCACUGGAAGGAGGUGCAUCAGCAGACGAUGUGUGGGAUGAGCAGUAGUAACGCCUCUUUCCUGCAUGAGUUUUCACAGGUAACCUGAUGCUUUCUUGAUCUCUAAAUUCAGUAACGGAUGUCGAUUUAGUAAACCAUUGGAAGGAUACUGAUGGCUUAGUUGCUAUACGAAAAAUUAGGAUGCUACAUGACCAUAUACAAGUUUAUUUGGUACCAUCUUUUUUACAAUUUAUUAACUAAUUUGCCAUGCUGAAAAACUGUAUCAUGUACAAACUGGCCAUGCUAGUUUUUAGAUAACUGAAGACAGACAACAUUUGGAUUAAAAUUUGCCAUGCUAUUUUACAGAACACGCAAACAUUUGCCGACUUGAUAUAUAACUGAAUAUUAGUGCAGUAAGUUCAGUUCUCAUUUGGAACCGUCACAACAUUUUUGUUAUCAGCAGUGUACCCGGCGCCACCCCAUCCCCGUCUGCCACGGCGAGCGCCUCAAAGUGAUCUUUGCCAUUGUCAUGAUGAACCAAAGUCUAUAUAAUCAGUCAAAAUUCUGUAAAAAGAAAUCAACAUUCAGAGGCAGAAAUAUCAUGGAGCAUUUUGAAGCAGCGGAAAUAUCAUGACAACCUGGUUAACAUGAUUCUUGACUUGUUGAAAAUUCUACCUUUUUCAAGCCUGACCUCCUAUAUGAAGUAUCUUAUAUAACAUAGCAAGGUAGCCUAUAUGAAAUACCAACUGAGACAAAAAAGAGAGAAUACGGGCUUGUUUGGAUAGCGCCUGCAACCGCCCUGCCAACGCUAGGCGUGCCAACUUUUUAGCAGAAGGUUUCGCCUCCGCUGAAUCGACCCGUGGUUUGUGGAAAAACUGAAUGUGUUAAACAAAAAAUUGGCUACAUCAGAAUUUUGGGCAGCCAUCCAAAUGCUUGCAUGUGUCCUCAGUCAACGCCAAUUUUUUUUUGCAGGGUUAUCAUUGGCUUCCAUCCAAACGGACCCUACUACUCAAGCUGACCGACCAAAAACUAACUGAAAUAUGAGAUUUCAAAAUCCACCCCAUUCACUAAAAAUGGAAAAGCAAAACAUGGACUAAAUCGAUGAAUCCUGUAACAGCUAGGUUAGAACUACUUGAUUUAGCACAAUGAAUCUAGAUAAAACAGUAAAAUCACCGGCUUGCUAGUUCUCUCUUCCGCUUUCCUAUAGAUCUCAUUGAUUGUCCAAGUAGUAUAGAAAUCCUAACUCUACUUAGGCAGAUGAUGUUAUGUUAGUAUAAAUGCAUGUAGCUCACGUUGUAAUCAUCGUGAGUUGAAAAAGUACAAACAACAAAUAUGUUACACAUGCCAGUGUGUGUGCGUGCUUUGCUAGCCACCUGUUGGCUAGCCAUGCUGUACCAGACUCAAUCCAUCUCAAGUCGAGCCAGCUUUGCCAUGUUUGCGUUUUGCCAUCGGCCAGGCCGAAUACUUGUUUCACGGGCACAAAUACGUCAAAAGGAGGUUUGAGAUUAAUAUUACGCACCAUUGACAGUGUCCUUGACGGAGGCAAAGGGCAUCAAGUCCGAGCUGUUACCUUCCACACGUCCUCGCCGCAGCCGCCUGCGAUGAAAACGACCAGUCAAAUUCUCAUAGUUUAUGCCUGCCACAGACCCAAAUCGUGAAAGCUGGUGUGGUCGUGUGGAGGACGACAAUGGCUACGGGAUGAGGUGGGCGAGGUGGAGGCCGCGGAGCAAGCCAGCCUUUGAGUAGAUCGUCUUGUUCCUGAAGGUGUCCUUCGUCUAAAUUGAAUUAGAUCAACCUGGGCAGGACCGAGAUAUCUUUAGGAAAGGCAUAUAUAUAAGAGAUUAGUGGGAAGGAGAGGAUUGCAUCCCAGAUAUUCAGAAGAAACGCAUGUUAAUGAGAAGGACGGGCAUGUGUUCUGAUUUUUUACAGGAGAGAUGUGCAUUAAAGGAAAGAUGGAUGCGAUCUGAUUUUUUUGGAUAGAAAACAAAAGGAAAACUGGAAACAUGGAGAAGAUCGUGUGAAGGCUGGCGACUUCUUUCGAUCGAUGGAGAGGGGAGGGAAUGAGAACGAAACGACGUACCUACUGAGACAUUAGGAGUAGAGAUAAUUAGUUUUUUUUCUAUGGUGUAUGAUGCGUCUUUAAAAUCUUUUAUUUGUUUCCUUAAAAUCUAUUAUUUGUUUCCUAAAGAUAUUUGCAAUAAUGGGAGGUAUCGGUUGAUUUGGGUAAGUUGGUAAAGUUAGAUCCGUGAUUGCGUGUAUGUUUGGAAAGCGCUGAUUUGCAAGGAAAGAGCUGAGGGGUAAAUAAAACGGUGAAUAAGAAACCAGCGUCGAUGGGGAGGUGGGAGGAGGGACGAAAAAAACCCAGACAAAGGUGGGAGGAGAGACGGAAAAAAACCCAGCGAAAAUAAACCGUGGAGACUAUUCACCAACUGCUCCAUUAGGAGUAGAGAUAUUGCUUAUAGUCGUCGCUAGGUGGUCCAUUGAUUUGGUUGUAAUUUUUAUUACCGUGAUUGAUGAAUAGAUUGAAAAUUUCUCUCACAAAAAAAAUCUAUAAAUAUAUGUUUUUCUUACUUACUCUUGUUUUCCCUUACUUUUCAAGUCUUGUCUUGAUUGGGCUGAUAGGUGUGCAAAGACAACUAUGGAAACAUCAUGUUACAGCUGCUUUCAGUCUGGCAAACCAAGAUGGUUUUGACAAUAUAAGGUACUCCCUCCGUAAACUAAUAUAAGAGCGUUUAGAUCACUAAAAUAGUGAUGUAAACACUUUUAUAUUAGUUUACAAUGGGAGUACUAGGUUUGACGGGCUGAACUUAGAUUUUUAAAUAUAUAGCCUAAUAAUACUCUGGUUUAUUCAACGCACAACUAAUCAAGUUGCAUUUUCUCAACAAGUUGCAAGAAAUGCAUCUUUUUUCGAUCCACAGUCUCAGAGAAUAUCGAACCGUUAUCUGAUUAACACCAUCCAUAACAACUUCUCAAAACACACACACACACACACACACACACACACACACACACACACAACCUUAACACUCCUAAAUAUCAACUUCUGAGCAGAGGCGGCAACUGUUACCGUCACCCACACUAGUAUCAAAAUUUCAAAAUGUGGUUUACCUCACAACUAGCGUUGCCGAGACAAAAAGGACCAGCAUUUCUACUGCUCCGUAAAUUCAAGAAACGGACCGAUUGCAUGUAUAAGAACAGACAUGCCAAACAACAUAUCAGAGGUCGACUUAUUCAUUGUCUUGAAAGAUUUCGUAUGGAUGACACAAACACAACAGAGGCUGGUCAGGCAAACAAGACCACGGAUUCUUCCACGGGAGCUCCUUGUAAAACAACACAUCAGAGGUCAACUUAUUCAUUGUCAACUAGAGAAAAAUGUCUCAAAAGAUUUCGUAUAGAUGACACAAACAGAACAGGGGCUGGUGAGGCAAACGAGAGCACGAAUUUUUGCACGGGAGCGCCUUGCCACGGCUGUUCUUCAGUAAAUCUCAACAAAAAGAUGGACUAGACGACUGCAGAUCCAGCUACCACUCUCUGGCCCCAGGCCCGCCAAGAAAGACGGACCCUGCUGCAAACAAAAACUUGUCCUACGCUGAAGCACCGGCCUCCUCCUCCUCUUUCCUUUUGCGAGCCCACUUGGGGCUGACCUCGAUAAGCCGGUGCGGCAUGAGCUGCUUCUCCUUCCGGGUGAGCUUCUUGUAGUUCAUGACCCUGAGUUUCGCAAUCUUGGCUUCCUCCUCGGCCGUGGCCUCUCUGACCACCACCGUCAGCCUGCACCUAGGUCUCUCCCUGACACCACACCUACCUUUGGCGUGGUAAGACAGCCUCUUGAGAUAAAGUCCUUUUCCCACGAAAGCCUCUUC